Molecule: long non-coding RNA, 58819 nt
Filed under: Gossypium barbadense (sea-island cotton)
Lineage: Eukaryota; Viridiplantae; Streptophyta; Magnoliopsida; Malvales; Malvaceae
Description: long non-coding RNA (GBAR_LNC009339)
Source: RNAcentral
AUCUCACGCUUGGAUUCAACAUCAGAACCCAUUUUUCCAAAAUCGGGAAAGGAAUCAAGUGCAGUCAGGAAAGCUUGUCGUGUAUAGAAUUUCUUGCCUGCACAAUCUGCACGAGCUUGGCUGAUUAUCCCGUUGAAGAACUGAGGUGAAAUAAUGGAGGCAACUGAAGCACCAGUGGGAGACUUGGAGAAACAAGGGCCUUCUUUGCAACCAGUGCCACAGUAAUCGUUACCCUGACCGCAAUAACCAUGUUGACUGCAACACAAGUUUGGCGCACAACCACAGUUUUGAGCCAACACGGUUUGGGUUAUAGCUGAAGCAACUACUAGUCCUACGAGAACAGAUGUUAGUAGCUUUUUUCCCAUAGCUAAGGACUUCAUUUUCAAAGGAUGAGAGGGAAGUUUGAUGUGAGCAGAGGGAUUGAGGCAGUGGAGAUAUUUAUAGGGUAAUGUUUUCCAAUAUCGUACUGGCUAGGGGUCUAUGUGAUCAAAGUUAUUGGACUUUUCUACCAUAGCCUGGUGCGAAUUGUUUACGAGGAAACUUCCACUUUGAUAAAAUUUAUAUUUGAUGCAUGUCUACAUCAUAAAUAUAGUUCUAUUAAAUUACAUUAACCUGAAAAAUAUUAUAUAAAUAUAUUUAUAAAAAAAUUUAUAUAAAAACUAAAUUAAUUAUUGGUUGGAAUAGCAAAAUUGAAACAUUGAAAAUCUUAAUAUUCUAGGUUGAAGUCCAUCAUUGACAUAUUUAUUAUAGGUUUAAAUUGUUUUUAUAAGGUUUUAUAUAAAAAUGAAAAUAAUUUAAUAAUAAUAUUUGUUACUUUUAAAGGAUAUUUUAGUUAAUUUUUAAUUGAGUUGGUGUUUAAAUUACUCGUGAUAGUAACACACUUAAGAAUUUAAAUAAAGUAUAAAUAUCAUGAUAGUCAAUAAGUGUUCACACUUUAUCAUUAAAAAAAAGAAUAAUGUCUUUUUUGAUCUUCCAACUUUGCAAAAAAGUUUAUUUUAGCUCUUCAUUUAAUUUUUUGUCUCUUUUAGCCAUUAAACUUGCAUUUUUUGUCAACUCACCUCAAAAUGGAAGGAAAAGUUAACUUUUCCUAACUUUGUUGAUGUAGCAUACAUGUGGAUUGCCACAUGUACGACAUGUCAGCAUUUAAUUACUUUUUUAAAAUAUUAAAAUUUUUUAUACUCUUUAAAUAAUUUUAAUGAUUUUUAAUUUUUAAAAAUUAAAAAUAAUGUUUUUAAUUUUUAAAAAUUUUAAUAAGUCAAUUAAAUACUUAUAUGCUAUCUACAUGACCAUCCAUGUGUAUGUCACAUCAAUAAAGUUAAAAAAUAUUAACUUUUCCAUCCAUAUCAGGGUAAUUUGACAGAAACACAAAUUUAAGAGCUAAAAAAUGUGAAAUUUUAAAUGAAUGGCUACAAUAAAUUCUUUUCAUAAAGUUAGAGACUAAAUAAAUUAUUACACCUUAAAAAAACUUAAAAAAAAUUCUGUUUAGAAGAGAAAUUUAGGCAAGAGAUUUCAUUUUAUUAAUAUUUUAAAUUUUCCAAAAAUAAAUUAAUUUAUUUGAAUAAAAAUUAUAAAAAAUUUCAAAAGGUCCUAUUUUUCAAAUUUUGUUAAAAUUUUAAUUCAUUUAUAUGCCUUACCACAAAAUAAAAGGAAAAAGGUUAAAGCUCAAAGUAUUUAUUUUUAUUUAUUUAAAAACUUAUAUAUCUCAUGAAUACAAUGAUUUUCGCAUUGCUUUUAUACUUUUAUAUAUAUUUGUUAUAGAAUAUUUGAGAAACUUAAAAUUUGACUCGACCACAUGAAAUGAGAAGCUCGACCCAUCUUGCAAGCCAGCUAUGGUGCCUUGCCAUCUCACAAGUCCAUCAUCACUUCGCAAGGCCCAUUUUAUGUCCAUUGCCACUUCACGAGCCCUCGCUAGUAAGCCAUUGCCUUCUCACUUCGCAAGGCAAUCUUUGCCACCUCGCACAAUCUCGUGAGCCUGACUCUUAAGCCAUCGAAGUGCCUCACCAUCUUGUAAAGAUGUCCUCACCAAGGCAUUACCAUUUAACCAUUUCGCCGUCAUCAUCUCGCCUCACAACCUUGCAAGGUGACAAGCCACCCAUCACAAACAUCACGCAAAGUGUGAUUGUAACAACUCAUUUUUUAGUGGUGUUUAAAAUAGUAGUUUCGAUGCCACAAAUCCAAUGUGUAAGCCCAUAAAUAUUAUUAUUUAAUAUUUAUGAGUUAAAUAUAAUAUUAUAGUAAAUUUUAAUUCGAUAAUUGUUGUUAUUUGAAUGAAUAGUUAAGUUCAAAUGGUUUGUCCUUAAAGUCAAGUGAUUUUGGAAAGCGAAAUAUCGAGGCCUCGUUUCUAUUAAUCGAGCCUGUAAAUAUUUUUAUUAAAUAUUUACAGAGUGGUUAUAUAGGUGUAUUAAAGUUUGGUCCAAAAAUUUUAACCUUUAGAUAAUUAAUUAAGUAAAAUGGACCAAAUUAUAAAGACUGUAAAAGUUAAUCGCUAUAAGUUUAUUUGUAUUAAAUGGUUAUAAAAGUAUUAAAUGAGGGUUUUAAAAUGCAAUUAGACCUUAUUUAGUUAGUGUGGACGAUUAAUGGGUGAAAAUAAUUAUAUGUUUAAAAUUUUUUAAUUUAAAAGAAUUAUAUGUUAUAAUAUUAUUAAAACAUUAAAAAAACAAAAGGUAAUUAAUCAUCAUCUUCAUCAUUUUAUUUUUCUUUAACCGAAACCACCAUUGAAGCUUGAGGGAAGAAUCAACCAAGAUUUAAAUCUCCUUGCAUGGUAUGAAAUUCAAGCCCCUUUUUUAGUAAUUUUUUUAUAUUUUUAAGAUCGUUGCAACUAGGUCUAGUCAAUUUAUAUCACCGAUUUCAAAAUUGUUAAAGAUUUAAAACUUUCCAUUGAUGAAUCUUAGGUUUUUUUGAUAAAAAUUUUUGGAUUUGGAAACUAUAAAAUGUUUAAGGGCUACUUGAUUAAGUAAAUUUUGUUAAUUUUGUAUUUAGGGACUUGUUAAAAAAGUAAAGUCGUAUGAAAUUCUUAUGAAAAUGUGUUAAAUAUUGGAUGUACAAGGAGUAUAUGAAAUUAUUCUAGUAUGGUUUUGGAUUAAAUGUGUUCAAUUUAAAAUUUUUGGAUUUAGUGACUAAAUUGAAUAAAAGGUAAAAAAAUUAGGGUAAAAAUGUAAAAUGUUGAUAAAGAGCAAAUAUGUGAAUUUAAGUAUUUUAUGGAAUUUGAAUCGAUUAGUUGAAUAAAAUUAAUAUAUUUAGAUCAAGAAACGUAUUAGUCGAUUGAUAAACGCAGGAAAGGAAAAUUUGUUGAUUAGAUGUUAGGGUUGUUUUUGUUGCAAAAUCGGUUUAGGUAAGUUUGUAUUAGGUUUAUUAUAUUUUUAAUGAUUUGAAUUCAAUUAUAUGUGUGUUUCUGUAUAUAUACUAUAGUUAUCAUGAUUGAGGUAAGUCAUAAAAUUGGAAAUGUUGAAUUGAUUUGUGAAGCAUGGUAAUGAGUAUGUGUGAAUUGAAUGGUAUAUAAUAUGAAAUAGAUAUGGGCAGGUUAAUCACAAUUCAAAUGAUUAAGGCCAUAGCUAAAAGACGCUAUUUAAGUUCUGUUUACUCUUACAUGCUGUGAAUAAUGAUUUAAACGAAAUAUAGGUAAAUGACUUGUUUCUAAACUGAUUUUUAAGUUCCGUAGGCCCAAUUUAAGCUCCGUUUAUGCUUAUAUGCUAUGAAUAAUGAUUGAAUGUUGAUCUAUGAUGUUUAAAUUGAUUUUUGAAUUGUUUUAAGAUAUUAUCAGACUUGUUAACUAUCGUAAUAUCCCGUAACCCUAAUUUGGUGAUGAAGACGAGUUAAGGGUGUUACAGUGAUCAUCUCACCACCUCGCGGAGAGAGACACGUUUCAGAGUACAUGUCGAGCUAGGGGUGAAUGUUUCAUGCACUUGGCACCUAACGGUCCCCUAACACGUCACAUCAGGGGACUGUGCCUUAUAAAUAUGAAAGAGUUGCUCCGAAGAGAGGGAGAACAAGAGAAAACCUUAACUCAUAAAAUUUUAAUAAUUUAUUUUUUUCUAAAAAGAAUUUAUUCAUAUAAAAAUAAUUACAAAUGCUAACAUUUUAAAAUAGUAUAUUUUAAAAUAUCUUAAUUUGAAAUUUCUAUAAGUGAAAGAAAAAAAUUAUUUUCUAAGGAUAUAUAACUUUUUAAGUUUACUUAAUAAUGAAGUGUUGCCGAUUAAGUCUUAGCUCGAUUGGUAUCGACAAUGUUGCUAAUGUAGGAGAAUGUGGAUUUGAGUGUGCUGAAAUGCAUUAUCCUCCUAUUCAAGGGUUAAGGAGGGGCUAUGGGUACUUUUAGGCAUUCUAUCAAAAAUAACAGAUAGGAUAAGAACCUAUAAUAAGAUCCUUAAACACUGCUUCAAUUUCCUUUAACUUUGUUCUUCAUGUUAUUGAACAAAAUAUUGAAGUUGUCAUUGAGAAUAUUAAUAUAACGACUUGAUUUUUUAAGUGGUUUCAAAAAAUCGAAACCUCAUUUAGGUGAAUUGAGUCCAUAAAGGUAAAAUGAGAAUAUUUAUGGAGCUAUUAUGAAAAUAUAUUGAAUAUCAGUUAAGUAAUUUAACCGAGAAAAUCGUUAAUUAAAAUUCAAGGACUAAAUUAUAAAAAUCUAAUUUCUAUUAAAUUUUAAUUUAUAAAAUACUUGAGGACCUACUUAGCAAUUAUGCAAAGGACCAAAAUGGUUAUUAAACCAUUAUUUCUUUUGUAAUUGUGGGAAUUGAUGAUGACAUCCACUUAGUUUCUAUAACUACAAUUAUGGAUAAAUAUAUAUUAGUUUUGUAAAUUAAUCAUAAUUAACUUGAGGUAGCUUAAUUAAACUAGUAAUACUAGUAUAAAUAGCAAACUCCAGUGGAAGAUGAAAACAUUUUCAUCUUGUCCAUCUUACUUUGCCGUCCUAAGUUAAAAAGAAAGAAGAAAUUUCUCCAAGCCUUCAUCUUCAUUUUUGUCCCAAAUUAACCAAGGUAAUCAAGUCAUUUUCUUCAUAUUUUUAUAGAUUCUUGAUAAUGGGAGCUUGAUUUAGCUAGCCCAUGUGUUAAUUUAAUAAAUUGGUAGAUGUUUGACAAGUUACCAUUAGAGAAAAUUUGAUGAAUUAGGCUUGAAAUUGAAAAGAUCACAAAAUAGUGAACUUAGAUUAUGUUAAGGAUUAAAUUGGAAACUAAGUUAAGCUUGUUAGAUAAUUUUGUAACAUUAAGGAAUAAAUUGAACAAAUUAAAAAUUUUCAUGAGAUUAUGUUGUAUAUUAAAAGUAUAGGGUCCCUAAUAAAAGAAUGUGAAAUCAAAAUUUGAUCCGAUGUUAGAUAUUGAAAAAUACGAGUCUCUCGAAUAUAUGGACUAAAUUUAAUAAAAUGUAAAAUAUGUUUUACUAUGUAUUUGAAUGUGAAUUGGAUGGAAAUUUACAUUGCUUUAUAAUUGAACUACCAAACAUAGCUAAGGACAACGUCGGGCCGUCUCUACAUAAAAGAAAAGCUAGUGUCGUGGACGAGUGACAAAAGUUUUGAUUUGUACUUUUAUAAUUUGAGUUCAAUACAUAAAUACAUAUACAUAUGCAUGUAUACAUAUAUGUGAUUGUUUCAAAUCUAUCUAUUGAGGUAAAUGUAUUGUUGCUUCUUGACUCGAUUUAUACAUGAUGGCAUUAAAUGUUCAGAAUUAGAUUAAAUUGAAUAUAGCAUAAAUAAGCUUGAUAUAAACUAUGAUGUGUGAUUAUUAUGUGUAUUGAUUUAGUAAUUACCCUACUACGUUUAGGGAAGAGUUGAGUUCAGUUGGCAUGCCAUGGAGUCCUCAAUAUAGUGAUUGAAAACCAUCGUUGUCAAGUACCCGGGAUGGUAGAAUAUGCAAAUAGUGAAAACCAUCAUUGUCAGGCCACCUAGGAUGAGAGAAUAUGUAAAUAGUGAAAAUUAUCGUUGUCGGGUCACUUGGGAUAGUGGAAUAUGCAAAUAGAGAAAAUCAUCAUUGUCGGGCCAAUAGGUAUGGUAGAAUAUGCAAAUAGUGAACUAUCGUUAACGAGCCAACCAGGAUGGUAGAAUACGUAAAUAGUGAAAACCAUCAUUUUCGGGUCAUCUAGGAUGGUAGAAUAUACAAAUAGUGAAAACUAUCAUUGUCGACCUAGGAUGGUAGACUAUACAAAUAGUGAAAGUAAUCAUUGUCAAGUCAACCGGGAUGGUAGAAUGUACAAGUUCUACAUGGAAUGUUAAUGAAACAAGUAUAUUUGUAACACCCCAGUUUUGACAGAUUCAAGGUUAUGGCGCGAAGUUUUAAAAAUGGUCUAUUGACAAAGUAGUAUCCGCGCAAAUAUUUCUUUUGGCAUAUAAGAUGGGCGAAUUAUAAUUAUGUGUAAGUUUGUGAUGGCUUUUUGUUGGAUUGCUAUGUUAUUUGGAAUAAGAUCUCAACCAAGUAAAAAGGUAAUGAUGGUUUGAGUUCACGCCAAGUUGGUUGAGCUACUAUGCUAAUUACAUUGUAAGUAUUGUAGUUAAAACUAAUUUAGUUAGAGUAACAGGAUAUUGGUCAUAUUGGGCUCUCAUUUUUGUUUUCUUUAUAGUUGUAAACCAUUAGCAAGGACAAUUUUGAAAAAAUAUAACAUUUGUCGAGUUCCAAUAAGGAUUUAGGUUGUAUAUAUAUGUAUUGAGAUUGAGUAAGUGGUAAGUUUUCUUCUUCAUUUUUUUCUAAAGUGCUACUAUAAUUCUUAAGAAACUACAAGCAUUUCUUUCUUUUUUAAGUUGGAAGUUGUGAUUUUGGGUAGUUAUGAAGAGAUACUUCAUGUCUGGGUAAGCAAUAUGACUUUGCAUAUUGAGUUCUAAAGAGUAAGCCUGUUAGAACUGGUAGAAUAGUAAGAUAAGGUAUAAGGCUUUGCUUGGGGACUUCCAAUGUUAGGAAUGAGGGUAAAAAGGUAUGUGAAUAGAUCUUGAUGGGUUUCUAUGUUUUUUAUCAAUGGUUGCUGCUGCUUGCGUGAUGGAAGUUUGGAUCUAGAGUUUUGAAUCGUGGUAGGUGAGAAUCGAAUGAGUCUCUAUGAUGACUUUUGCAGUUGUACUGUUCAUAUCAAAAGAUCUAUAGGGAAUUGGUUGAAAGGUGACUUAAGAUCUUGAAAGUUUUAGUAUGUAUGUGGCUAUAUAAGGGAUUAUUAAAGGAUAUCUAUGAUUAUGUGAAUGUUUGUUGUGGAUAGUAUGUAUAUUUGAUAUAGAAUCUGAUGAGUACAAGUAUGAGUAAUGUGAUGUGAAGUAUGGUUGCAUAUAAAUGUCUAGAUUGUAUGUUAUGAUAUGUGUAUGAUGUUGGUUGUUAAUAGUGAAUUAGGAAGAUUGUGCUUAGUUUGUUUCAGUGUAUGAAAUGUCUAUAAAGUGAGUUUGUUUCAUAAUUGAGCUCCAGCAUUUGUUGUGAACUCGAAGAUACAUGUGACACAGAUUUAGCCUGGACUGGUAAUUUGUUAUCAUUUUAAAGGUUUAGUCUGGAUUGGUAACCUUACAUGUAUAUUAAGCCAUGGCCAUGACAACCUCUAAAAGGAACUAAAGAAUGGUGAUUACCUAACGGGGUUUUCUGCGUGUCCUAAGAUGAUGAUGGGUGAACCUCAUGCAACGUGAAUUUAGGCAAAUCCAUAUCGUAAACAUGACAUAAAAGAAUAACUUCUAUGGUGAACUAUGAAAGAAUAACCUUUGUGGCGAACUAAAAAAGAAUAACCUUCUUGGCAAACUCUAAAAGAAUAGUUGUAACAACCCAUUUCUCUGAAGUGUCAGAACAGUUGUUUCGGGGCCACAAAUCCGACGUGUGAUAAAAAUAUUUAUGAUUAAUAUAUGAUGUAUUGAUAAAAUUUGAUUUAAUGAUUUAAGUUAAAUAGAAGAGCAAUUAGGUUCAAGUGGUAUGACCUUAAAGUCAAGCGGUUUUAGAAAAUGAGGUAUCGAGACCUCGUUUUUAUAAACCGAACCGUAAAUAUUUUUAUAAAUAUUUACGAAGUGUUAUUAAGGUUGUAUUAAAGUUUCGUUAAGAAAUUUUAAUGUUUAGAUAGUUAAUUAAGCAAAAAGAACUAAAUCAUAAUAGUUGAAAAAAUCAAUCGCUAUUAAUUUAAAGGUGUUAAUUGAUUAAAGAAACAUAAUUGGAUGGCCUUAAUGGAUAAAUUACCCAUUCUUAAAUUGGUGGAUGGAUAAAGCUUUAAUUCCUUUUAAUUUUAUAUGUGUUUUAUAUGUUAUAAUAUUUAUUAAAAGAUAAAGAAAAAAAUAAAGAAACAUAAGCAUCAUCUUUCUUCUAUUUUGGAACCGAAUGCUCUAUGGGAGUUUUCUUUAAGCUUUCAGACAUUCUUAGCUACUCAUGCAUGAUAUGAUUUCUUAAUUCAUUUCUUGUAGUUUUUAUGUUUUUAAGAUCAUUGCAACUUGGUCUAGCUAGCCCGUACCUUCGUUUUCGAAACUGUUAAAGAUUUUGAAUUAUUCCAUUAAUGAAUAUUUUUUAUUCUAGAUAUAAAAUGAUGAAUUUAAAGUAUUAGUUGUUAUUUAUAAGCAUCUUGUUAAGUGAUUUUUGAUGAAUUUACCAGUUAGGGACUAAAUUGUUAAACUAGUAAAAGUACAAGGAUUUAAUGUGUAAUAACAUCAAAUAUGGGUUGUAGUAAGGUUCUAAUAAAUUCAUAAGCUCAAAUUUGAGUAAAAAUGGUUAAUAUGCAUGUUUUAGGCUUGGAGACUAAAUUGAAUAAAAGUAAAAUAUUUAGGGUCAUUUUAUAAAAUUUUUAAAAGGACUAAAUUGCAUAAAAUGAAUUGGUUUUUUUCUAUCUAAAUUAAUGAAUUGAAUGAAAUUGUUAAUUUAGAUUAAGAACGAGUGGAAAUUAAAGAGAAGAGAAAAUUACCAAAUAACCCCUGUACUUAAUCAUUGCCGCAAUUUAGUUAUGUAAGUUCGUAUGCACUAUAGUUGCUUUAAUGUUGCUUCGAUUGAAUAAUUAUUAUAUAUUUUUGAUGUAAAAGAACUAAUAUGUAUAAAUAUAUCAAUGCUAUGAUGAAUUGAUGGUUCUCGGGCCCCAUUUCAACCAAUAUGUAUAAAUAUUUCAACUGGGGUUACCAUGUUUCGUGUGCUGGCCAUGAAUGUCCUACCGAUGGCUGAGGUCCUGCAUUUAUUGCGGAUGCUUGUCAACUUGUGUGAGCGGCAUCGUGUAGCUUACAUUCUGACCGUCAACGUGUUUGAGCAAACCCAUUUUAUGGCUUGAGUGAGCAAUGAUGUAAAGGAAAAGGAAAAAGAAUGGUUUCAACCAUAUGUUUAGCACACUUUGUGUGAGCCUUCCUGUAUAUCCAAUAUUAUUCUAAGUGGUUCAAUGGGCAUGAAAAUGAAAAGAACGGUAAUUUUUCAAAUGGCUUAUUUCAUGAAUCUAUGAAAAAGAUUGAAAAGGAAAUGUUUAAUACUUAUGUUCAUGAAAUUGAUGAUUUCAAAUGAUGUUGUUCAUGUAUAAUGAUUUACCUCAUGUUAUUUCAAGUGAAUUAUGAGUUGAUGCACUAACAUGUGUUGUGGAUGAUGCUUAGGCUUGUGCUAAGCUUAUGGUUGGAUUAUAUCAUGCUUAAUUGUAAUGAUAUACAUCGAAAUGGUAAGUGUCCAAAUGGAAAUAUGCUUAUGUGCAUGAAAAGGUUGUAUAAAUCAAAAGAUAUAUUUUCUUAUGAAAUGGCUUAUCAUGUGGUUGAUUCCAAAAAAGUUAUGUAUAAAUGCACUUGUAGAAGCCCAAAUUGCCCGGGCCCGAUUAUAUCAAAACCUAACCAAACCUCUAAACCCACUAAAACCCUUAAACCAUGACCCAUUUACAUCUACCCAAACCCAUUACAAAACCCAAAUAUUAAACCCAAUUCAAAAGCCCAUUAAGCCCCCCCCAAAAAAACCUAACCCAAAAAAAAAAAAGAAAAACCUAACCCUAAAAAAAAACCAAGAAACCCUAGCCACCUAGCCACUUUCCCACUUGCCCCAUUUUUCCUCCCAUUUUUUAUAUCCAUUGUCUACCACUACCACCUACAAAAUAGAAAAAAGAAAUAAUAGAAAAUCAUGUAAAAGAUGGCUAUAAAAAGCCAUUCAAAAUCAUGUAAGUGAGGGGAUUUUACAAAGAUUGAAAAAAAAAACACAAAAAUCCCUUCAAAUUUUGAACACAAAAGACACAUCAAUAAAAAGGUUGCAUCUUUUUCUUUUUUCCUCUUCUUUCGAAUCUUUUUUUUGUUGUUUUUUUUCUUUCUUUAUAUAUACAUAUAUUGUUAAAAAAAUUUUACCUUUUCCGGCCACCGUGGGCGGUGGCCAACGACGGGCGGCGACCGACGAUCGACCGGUGAUCGGCCCCCCUGGCCGGAUUUCCUUUCCCCCCUCCCUUCUCUCUUCUUUCCCCCUUUUUUUUUUAGGUAUUUUAUAUAUAUUAUGUAUAUAUUUUUUAAUGCCAUUAGUUAUAUAUUUCUUAUGUAUAUAUUCUUAAAUACUAUUAUAUACAUAUAUAUAUUUUUUAAAUACCAUAUUGUGUAUAUAUUAUUAUUACAAAUUAUUACUAUUGCUAGUAUUAUUAUAACUAUUAUUAUAUUAGUGUAUAUUUUAUGUACAUAUGUAUAUAUAUAUAUAUUUUUUUUGCACAUAUCAUUAUUUUAUAUUAUUGUUGUAAAUUUUUUAUGUAUAUAUUUUUUAUGUACGUUUCCUAAUAUUUUCUUUUAUUGUAGAUAUUAUUAUUAUUACAUACUUUUAUUAUAUGCAUAUAUAUAUGUAUUUUUAUGUACAUAUUAUUAUUUUAUAUUAUUAUUACCAAAUAUAUCAUUUUUCCUAUUUUAUUAUUAGUACAUGAUUUGUUUUUAUUUUGUAAAUAUCAUUAUUAUUGUUAUUCUAAUAUUCUAGUAUUCCAUGUUAAUAUUUUUCAUUAAUGAUAUCAUUUUUUUUGCGUCCUUUAUCUAUUUUUAAUUUCUCACUUUAGGAAUAUUUUUUCUCAUGUUUUAAUUAAUUUCAAAAAUAAGGCAAUGUACCGAUUUAAUAUUAAGCCAUCGAUUUCAUCGCUAUGUUGGGUGAAAUUCGUCGGCUUGUGUUAAAAAACGGGACACCCUUUCUAAAAAAAAAUCGAAAACUAAAAAUUCUCAUUUUUCAAUCGGAUCACGAUUAAAUAUUAUAUUGAACUCGUAUUUUUGAAAAUCAAGUCAACACAUGUUUAUGAGAUACCAAUUUUGGGCGUCGCGAGGGUGCUAAUACCUUCCUCACGCGUAACUGACUCCCGAACCCCAAUUUUUCUCUGGACUUUCAUGUAGACCUAAAUUUGGCCUUCUUUUUGUUUUAAAAUAAUUUUAUUAGGUGUCCGAUCACACCUAUAAAAAAGGAUCGGUGGCGACUCCCUUUGUUAAUAAAAUCGAAAGUUGGUUUUCAAAUGUUUAAUAAAUCGCCACAAUUAGCGACCAAGAGAAACUAAAUUUUUUUUACGUCGCUACAGCACUAACUUGUGUAUCGAUGAUAAUAUUUAGGCUUGUGUCAAGCUUGUGUAAUUGGUUGAUGUUUAUGCUUAUAUCUUGUAUUAUGUAAAUGAUACGGGUAAGAUGAAAUGGUAAGUUCAUAAUUGAUAUUUAUUAUGAUGAUAUAAAAGGAUGAUGAGUUAAAGAACUUACUUAUAUAUGAGAAAUUUACUUAUGCUAUAGAUGAAUUUACCUAUGUCAUGAAUAAACACACUAAUUCAUGAAUUGAUAAUGUUAUUUAAGUUUAUGCUAAGUAAAUGGAUCGAUUCAUCGUCUUAAGAAAAGGUUGUUGAUUAUGUAAUACAACUUAUAAGAUCUUAUUAUGUUAUGAAUGAAAAGUAUACAUGAUGUUGAGGGAUUUACUCAUUUGUCAGUUUAUGGUUAUAUAGUUUUAUAAAUCUUGUGGCAUUGGUAUAGGUUUAUAUUUAACCUAUAAAGUUCAUUAUUCAAAUGGAAUGUUAUGUUAAAAGUUUAUGCGAGCUUACUAAGCAUUCAUUGCUUACGUAGUUAUUUUUCUUUACUUUAUAGAUUAUCGGAAGCUCGAUCGGUUGGAAGCUUGUCGGAGAUCUAUCACACUAUCUAACGAUUAUAUCGGUAGUUUUGAUGUUUUAGCUAAAAUUAUAAUGGCAUGUACAGAAGAACUUGUUUCGAUAACUAAUUGGAUGUUAGUUGAUAAUGUUGGCAUGUAUAAGUUGUUUUGGUAACAUUCGAUGUCGAUUGGUUAGUGUCAUUUUGGUACUUAUUGAUGCCUUUCUAGGAUAUGUUAUUAUAGUUGGUAAACUUUUGGUACUUAUGGAACUUUUGAUACCUUGAUGGUAUGUGUCAUUACGGUUAAGAUAUAAUGCAUGAUUUAAAAGCCAAUAUGGUAUGUGUUGGAAUAGUUUUAUUGUGGUCAAAAUAUGGUAAGUUCUGAAAUGGUAUUGAUCUUGAUAGGUAUGUAUGAAAUGUGGUAAUGUUUCCAUGUGGUAAUGUUUCCAUGUUUAGGUAAGAUAUGGUUGAAUGCAUUUGAGGUGUCUUGUUCGCUUAUUGGUUGGAUGGAUUUUUGGUUCAUUGAAUUGGUUUUUUUAUGCUUUAAUUGGUUUGUUUAGAUGCUUUGGUUAAGGGUGCAAAUGACUUAUAGGUACAUGCGUGAAAUGGGUGAAGGAAAUGGCUUGAUUUUGGUCAAUUCCUUGUCCACGCGGCUUAAGACACGGGCGUGUGUCUCAUCCGUGUGUGACACACAGCCAUGUGAUAUGGUCAUGUGUCCCCUUGUAGGUUUUAAAGGUUUCAAGUCAAGCAGUUACAUGACCUAGCACACGGCCUGGUACACAGGCGUGUGAGGCCAUUUCGAGUGUUACAUGGCUUGGCACAUAGGCGUGUGGCUUGGCCGUGUAACCCAACUCAGAGAGUUACACGGGGUAUGGACACGAGCUAAGACAUAGCCGUGUGUCCUUACUUUGAUUGUUACACGGCUUGAAACACAGGUGUGAGUCUUAGCCAUGUGAGUCACAUGGCCUAGCCACAGGGCCAUGUGACCCCUACAGUUCAAAAUUUUUAACUUUAUCCUCAAUGUUUCAAAACAUUUCUGAUUUAGUCUCGAAUUGUUUCUAAAGUAUUUUUAAGGCCUCGAAGGAUCGAUUAAGGGACAGUAUGCAUGUUGAUGGAUGACUUACGCUAUGUUUAUGUUGAAGUUUGAAAUGUAUGUUUCAAAGUUAUAUUUUUUAUGGUAAUGUUCUGUAACCCUAUUCUGGCAACAGAUACUAGUUUGGAGGUGUUAUAAUAGUCUUUGUGGUGCACCCUAAGGAAUGACUAGAUUGGCGUAUUCAAAAUGACCCUUAAGUGUAAUCUGUAAAAUCAAUAAGGUGUAAUGCAUCCAUGGCCUAUACGGUAAGGUAUUAUAUGAGACUAUGGUUCGAUUAAAAAUAAUGAAUUGAAAAGAUGUAGAUAAGAAUGGGAUAGUAUUGGAAGCAUGUACUAAAUAAAGAUUUAUAAGUAUUCAAAUGGAAAAACAUGUGUGAUGCAUUGAAGACCUUAAUAGGAAAAGAAAUUAAUUUAGAAGGAGGCAUGAUAUCUAUGGUAUAUGAAUAAUAAAAUUUGAGAAAAGUAUUCGCCGAAGACAGGUUAAAGGGCAAGAACGAUAUGAUCAUCAUUUUGAUUCAUCGACUGUAAUAUGCAAUUAACAGAUAGGUAAAUGUUGUAACUUUCACUAAGUUCUUACAAACUUAUCUGUGUGUUAUGUUAUAGGUGAGUUGAUAUAGGUCUACGCCGGGAGGGACGAUACUGGGACUACCGCAAAAGAAAUGGCAUAUCGAGUUGUUAUGCAUACAGAGCGUGUAACAACCCAUUUUUGGUCAAACCAGAAUAGUGGUUUCGGGACCACAAACCUGAAGUCAGAAUAUUUAUUUUAUUAUUAUUCUAAUGUUUACAGCAUGUUGAAUGAUUGUGUGAAAUUUUCGUUUAAAAAUUUUAUCGUUUGAUUGGUCAAUUUGAUAAAAAAGACUAAAUUACGUAAAGUGCAAAAGUAUUGUUCUAUUAGCUAAAGGUAUCUAACAGCUAUAGAACUUUAAAUUGGAGGUCCAUAAGAGGUAAUUAGACCAUAGUGAGUUAGUGGACAAUUAUGAGCUUGGUUUUAUGGAAACUAUUAAGAUUUUUAAAGGUUAUGUUAGUAAAUUAGUUAUUAACGAUUAAAUAAAUGAAAUAAAAAUAUGUAUCAUCUUUUUAGUCUUCAUCUUCAACCGAUUCUAGGGCUUGAAAAGCCAUUUUCAUUCCUUUUCAUUUCGCCAAGCUUCCUAGCUCAAUUGUAAGUCCAUUUUUGUCCCGUUUUUAAUGAUUUCUACAUUUUUGAGAUUGUUGUAGCUUAUUCUAGCUAGCCCAGGGACUAAUUUGCAAAACUGUUAAAGAUUUUGAAUGAUGUCAUUGACGAAAUAGCAUGUGUUUUGAAGUUUCGUGAUAGAUUAUGAAUGCUUGUUGAUAGAUAUACAAGUUUUGUUAAGUGAUUUUUAGUGAAAAUGCAAAUUAAGGAUUAAAUUGUGAAAUGUGGAAACUUUGUGGUUAAAAUGUGUAAUAAAUGAAAAAUAUGGGCUGCUAGGGGCAUAAUAGUAAUUCACUAGGCUUGGGUUGUGAUGAAAUUGAAUGAAUUUUGUUUUAUGAGCCUAGGGACUAAAUUGUAAAAGUGGUGAAACAUUAGGGGAAAAUGUGUAAAUGUGCUUAAAUGUGUGUUUUGGAUUAAAUUGAGUAGAGAGAUUAUUAAAUAAGUUAAUUUUGAAUAUAUUUAGAUCAUGAAAAGUGAAUUUUGGAUCUAGAUCAUGGGAAAACUAAAGUUAUCGACUAAUCGACCUAUUUUAUCGUUUUCACAUCUGAAGUAAGUUCGUAUAUUAUAAGUUUUGAUAUAAAUGUAUUUCAUAUGCUUUGAUAUUGCAUAAAUUUUCAAUACGAGACUAUAGAUAUGAUCGAUAGUGAUUCGACGAUGAUUCGACAUUCGAAAUCCUGGUUGAACAUUAGGAAUAGUUUAGGAUACUAGUGACAUGUCAUUAGAGGAUACAUUGAGUUGGCUUCGGGCCAUGAUAUUAGUACUUCGGGUGCGAGUUAUACUGAUUUGGCUUCGGGUCAUGAAUAUCGACUGAUUUGGCUUCGGGCCAUGAUAUAGGUACUUAGUGUGUGAGACUCUUGAGUAUCCGACUUCUAUUCCAAAUGGUUCAACGGGUAAACGAAAGAUGUGAUUGAGUAUGAGAAUGAUAUGAGACAGUACAGGUAUGUACGUGACAUGUAUAAGCUUUAGUUCGAAGAAACUUGUGAAGAAUGAUAUUAAUAUCAUAAUUGUGUAUACAAAAGGUUUGUUAGCUAAUAUAUGCUAAAUGUUGAUGUAGUCAAAUUGUUUAUUUAUAAUCUUGAGAUUGAAUUAAGUUUAUGAUAUACGAGCUUACUAAGCUUUAUAGUUUACUUUGUUUAUUUUUCCCAUUUUUUAUAGUGUUAUCAAGCUAGCUCGGAUUCGGGAAUCGUCUGAGAUCGCUUCACACUAUCCACCUAUCAAUUGGCACCUACGAACUUUGGUAUUUUAGGUAUAUGACAUGUAUAGGAACUUUGAGUCAUUUUGGUAUAUGUAUUUUUAUAAAUUUGGCCAUUUGUGUUGGCUUAUAAAUAUUAUGUACAUAAUGUUAUUUAUGGCCAUGUAAGUUGACCUAUUUGGCUUAGUUGGUGAUGUAUAUAUAUGUGUGUGCUAAUGCCAUUUUGUGAUGUGGUUUAUAUUGCUUGGUGAAGGGUUGAUUGUGGAUUAUUAGUUUGAAUAGCUAAUGGUUGAAUUUCAGAUUUGUAUGCUUGUGGUUUUAGGCUAAGAAAUGCUUAGUUGAAAUGAUACGUAUGAAUGCUUUGGAAAUGUGAAUUGGUAUAAUUGAAUAGGCAAGAAUAUGGUAUUAUAAGCAUGAUAAAUGUUGUCAUUGAAAUUGUAUACAUUUUAUUCCUGAUUGUGGUUAUUUUGGUUGUUUAUAAAUGCUUUAAAUUGUGCAUUUGGUUUGAUGUAGAUGUGUGCCAAAUUUGGGGUGGCAAAAUGACUUGGUAAAUAGCCUAUUUUUGUCCACACAGGAAGAGACACGAGCGUGUGUCUCAGCCGUGUGUGACACACGGUUAUGUUACAUAGUCGUGUAUCCCCUGGUGUUGAAUUAGAAAUCAAGUCAGUAUGCUCCAUACGGCCUCACACACGGGCGUGUGACUUGGCCAUGUGGCAUAAGUCAGUAUACACUAUAGGUUUGGCACGGUCUAGCACACGGCCUAGCACACGGACGUGUAUGACCAUUUUUAGGGCACACGAGCUGGCCACAUGAGUGUGUGUGUUGGUCGUGUGAGACACACGGCCAGGCCACACGCCUCUUUUUGAGAAAAUUUCUUAAGUGUUCAAAACGUUUCCUAAGUUAUCAGUUUAGUCCCAAACCACUCCCAAAGCAUGUUUAAGGCCUCGCAAGCUCGUUAUAGGGACAUUGUGAUUGAGGUUGAAUAAUGUUUUCAUGAAAUGUGAAAUUUUAUGUAAAUUGAAUGUUUAAAUGUUUUAGAAGCCUGGUAAUGCUCCGUAACCCUAUUCUGGCAUUAAAUAGGGGAGAGGGGUGUUACAGAGCUUGUUUGGUGGCAUGUUCAAAGUAUGAAAGAAAUCCAUAUUUUGGGAUGGCUUUUAUAGAAUAGGAUCUCAAUUCAGAUAUUUUUUGUAAUUAAAUUACCACAUGCUGCAGUUGCAUUUACUUAUUGUAUAUACAUAUGUAAAUUAGUUCGAGUUUGUCUGAAGUUAAUUUGUAAUUAAUUGAAAAUUGUAUAAGUAGAUUAAAUUUUUGUCUAUACUAGUGUAGUAAUACCUAAAAUUCAGAUUUAGCAAAUUGAAUCAGGUUAGGUGUGUUACAUAUAUCACGUAUUCAUACAUAUGAAAUAUGCAUAUGGUUCGUAAAAUAAGAUUGUGCAUAAUCUUGGUAUUUGGUACAUAAAAGGUAAUUGAAAAGGUUGAAACUUGAUCAUACAUUGAUUAUAUUAUUUUCAUGUUAAUGCUUUCAUUUAUAUUAAUUUGAAUCAUGGAAGUACAACUGAGCUUUAUCGCUCAACGUACUAUUUUUUUAUUCUAUGCACAAGUAUUAGUAGAUCUUAAAGACUCGAGACUUGAUCUAGCAUCCAAAUUGAAACUUUUGACUAAGAAAUGUUCAUACAGUUCUUUAUGUUUCAAUACGUGGCAUUUACCCAAGAUGGAAUCGGUUUUAAGUGGUAAAUUUUCGAUUUUGUAUUUUGGAUAUAAUGGUUAUUUUAAUUUAUGGUACAUGAGUUAUAUAUAAUAUAUAUGUAUGUAGCAUAAGAUUGAAAUGUUUAAUUUAUGUAAAUGAGCAUAUAUGAGUUUUAAAAAGCUAUUGUCUUAUAGAAAUUUGAAUAUUUUAUUGGCACGGAUCACAAAAGCUUUAGUAGUGGGGGAGCAGUUUUAUUUUGGAGUAAAAAUGUCAGGUGCAAUGUCAUUUCUAUUAAUGAAAACAUCAUUUCUUGCUACAUAGAGGACAAUAACUUAAAAACCUAGAUUUCUUACAUUUAUGGGAAACCUAAACUGUGUGGAAGACAUAAUGUUUGGGAACAGCUCAUGGAUUUCUCCAAAAUUGUUAAAGAUAGUGAAGAUUGGAUAGUAUUGGGUGAUUGCUAUUGGGUCAUUUGGUACAAAGACAAGUUCUCUAAUCUUUCUAACGAUUUAAAAGGAGCUUGAGAUUUACUGCAAUACCUUGAUGAUUACUUCCUCUUUGAAAUACCUUUUAAGGACUCCUAUUUCACUUGGGCAAACAAUCAGCAACAAAAUUAUGUUGUUUAGGAAAGACUUGACAUGGCAUUUCUUAACAAAUACUAUUUUAAAAAUUGCACAAACAUCUUAGUUUUCAAUCUACCGGUUGUUUUAUCUAAUCAUGAACCUAUGAUUGUUUUUACAAACAAAAUGUAUCCUUUCCAGAAAAGAUGCUAAGGGCAUGUUUGGUUCAAUGUAAUGGCUAUGACAUUACAAGAUUGUUCUACAGGCCCACACAAACAACUGUUUGGUUCAAUGGAAUACUCUAUUACGGGUGUAUUACAUUCUGGUCUUAUGCAGGGAAAUUUGGUGAUUUUUAUUCCCUCCCCUCUUCUCCAAUUACUGAUUCGAUGCUUGAAGAACCUUAUCUUACCCGCACUAAAUUCUCACCUCAAAAACACUCAAACGACAAUCAUUCCUUGCUUCCUUCAACUCUAGCACUCUUCCCCUUCAUCCAGCGUCCUUCAGGUAAAUAUUUCUCCUUCCUGUUGUUCCUUUCAUUUUCCUCUCUGCCAUUUUUUCUUACCCACAAAAUUUUUUUGCCUCUUUUUAUUAUUGCUUACUUCACCAUUUCUGUCUCUGUUGUUAGUCUUCUUCCCUUCCUGGAUCUAAAUUUUUAUCCUACCAGGCUUUCAGUAAGUUUACCCUUUCUACCCCAUUUUUUUUAUCUGCCUAAAAAUUCAUUUGUAUUAAAUUUUGGGUUUUUUUUUAAAUUUUAAGUUGUGAUUAUGGGUGGGUGUUUUCCUUGUUUUGGAUCAUCAAACAAGGAAAACAGUAAUGGUGGGGGCAAUAUGAAAGAACUAGCAAAAAGGAUUCAACUAAAGACAACACAAUUGGACAGCCUCAUCAUGUUAACAGAGUUAAUUCAGGUAAAUUUUUUUUUCUUUUUGUUACCCAAUUCACUCUGUUUUAUGCAUCAGCUGGAGAAUGUUGAAAUCUCUAUUUUUUUUAUGAGUUUGUUUUCAAGUUUUUGAUGACAUUUAGCUGUUAGAUUAUGUUGUUGGUUUGGUACGAUACAUCUAUGGUUGUUCUAGGGUGAUUGAUCGAUUUAGAUGGUUUAUCGAUAUAUCUUUGAGUGUUUUAGGGCGGCUAUCUAUCUUCAUUUGAAGGUAUUUGCUAAAUCUUGUGACAUUUUUAGUUGAUAAUUUUCUACGCCUUUUAUGCUCUGUUUGGAAGAUUUUAAUCUAAUUCUAUUAUUCUUGAACAUUAUUGGGUCUAGUUGGCGCACUUUGAUGAUCUAGUCUGAUGAAUGAGUUUCAAUAUGUUCAUUUGUGCUACUUCUAGUUUCAAUACAUUAGCUCUGUUAAUCUUAGUUUGAUCUGAUGUCAAUGUAGUUAGUUAUUUCUUUGCUACUCGUGGAUUAGUAAAAUAGCUUGAUCUAUUAAUUAUUGAUGCUCUUGAGUAAAUUCAGUUUGAUAAAUGGAUUCGAUCUGGUGUGGAAUCUACUAUCUUGGAUCAGAGUAGCUCUUGAAUUAUUUUCUAUUGCUCUUUAUUUGCUCAAUAGUUUGUUUCUUUGGAGCUUAUUGUUACUCAAGGUACUAAGAUUUCUUUUGAAGGAUUCACACGCACUAUGUGCUUGAGAUCUCAAUAGAUGAUCUUCAAAGAGAACGUGUUCAUUGGGAUCCACUAAUUCAUACUUCAUGUGGUGCAACAUUGCACGAUCAUGUUUCAUCAUCUAAUUAAUGUCAAAAGUUCGAAUAUGUAAGGUGGAUCUAUUUCUAGACCAUCUUAUAUAUGGUAUGGUCAAUGAAAACAAAAAUGCUAAGUUAUUAAGGUGUCUUUACUAGAUUUAGUUGGUAUUGCUGUGUGUGAAAAGCUAGUAUUCUAACAGUCUAGCUUCCAUGUUUUUGGUUCUAACUCUAACAAACUUAGUUAUGUUGGUGAAAAGUUAAUUACUCAAUUUUGAGGAGUAAGAAAUUGUAAAACCUAGUGGCCUGAACUUUCCUAGUUAGGUAUCUUGUUGUACCAUUAAUAACUAGGAAUUUGAGAUAUAGUGACUUCCACCCACUUUUUGAAAAGAUUACAAGUAGGAUUAAAAGUUGAUUCUCUAUGGACAGUUGCAUGGGAUGCUUUGUGACAUGUAAAUUGGUUUACUUUAUGAAGAAAAAAAUAAUAUCCCCACGAUAGAUUUCUCUAGGACGAAAAAAAUAAAUUAUCUUUCUAGUCUUGUAUUUGAGAUUAAGAUUCCAAGGAUAAGCCAAAUUAAUUUCAUUCGAUUUAAAACAACAAUUGAAAUGAUUAAAUUAUAUACAUAAUUAAAAUACUUAAACCCAAGCCCAUAUCCAAGCAUUUUACUUUUUAAGUCUAAACUUGAAAUAAACCCAAAUAAGUAAUUAAAUGUUCUUUCAAAAAAAAUUAAACUCACCAAUUUAAAUCUAAAUAGGGCAUAUUUGAAGGGUUUGUAAUUUGAUUUAUUUUUAUAUAAAUUAUAAAUUAGCCAUUUGACACAUUAGUCAAAGACACUUUUGCCACUAUCCUUUUAUGGUGGUUAUAAGAUUAAAAUUAGCUUCGCAUCCCACCAUCCUUAAUCACCUAGGUUUGAAUCCCGCCGUACAUGGCUACCAUGUGUAUAUUUAAUUAAUUAAAAUGUGAGGAUGAAUACAAGCUUUUUAAAAGGUAAAUUAAAUACCAAAUUUUUAAAAAAAUCAUAUAAUAUAUGUAUACUUCUAUAAAACUAGAAAUUAUGCAAUUUGGAUGUGGAUUUAUUUCAACUUUAGAUGUUUAUCAUUAAUUUUUCUUUUAAAACAACUAUAAUUUAUGUUCAAGACAUUAUAAUUUGCUAAACAAAGAGUCGAUUUUGUUGAAUGAACUUUGAUAAAUAAAUGAAUUUCAAGUUUCUUACUUGCAAAGAUAGUUGUAAUUUCUAUUUUGUGCUUUGCAAAGAUUCUUUAUAUGUAUUGUUCAUUUUUCUUUUACUGUGUGUUAUUGCUUCCUCUUCUUCUUUGGCUUGCUUGAUUGCUUCCUUCACCCACAAUUGAGCUUCUUGUAUUCACUAAAUCACUGUAAGUUCUUUGGCAAUUAAUUUUUUUGAUUUUGUUUUACUGUUAUUGAAAUUAGUAUUGAAGAAAUGUGAUCAUUUUACUAUGAUUUGAAGAUAUGUAACACUUUAAUAUCUUGCAAUAAUGGUUCGUCUGCCUUUAAUAGUACAAAGUGAGAGGCAUAAAAGAAUUGAUCUUACAUUGAUAGUAUGGUUGCAAAUGUGUACAGUUGCGAGUUGAUUCUUAGUUACAUUGGGUGUCAUCCAUAGCCUACAUACUUAUAGACUAAGGAUUAGAUCAUAUAUUUUAGAUUUUUAUGCAAAACUAGAUUAUGUGAAAAGACUUGUAUAUGUUAGUGACGAGACAUGUAUUGAACAAGUUAAGAUGACUGGAAUUACCUUUUUUAAACUAUGUGAGAUGUUACAAAUUUUAGGGGGAUUGAAGUCAUCAAGGAACAUGCUUGUUGAUAAGAAAGUGGCAAUUUUUACAUAUCAUUUCUCAUCACCUUAAAAAUCGAGUUUUCAGGCAUCACUUUAAUAGGUACGGGGAAAUCGUUAGUAGAUCAUUUCACAAUAUUUUAAAUGCUGUCAUACGCUUACAAGAUGUGUUAUUUAAAAAGGCAGAGCCAAUAACAACUAAUUCUACAAACCCAAUGUGGAAAUGGUUCAAGGUAUUGGAGUGAGUUCGAUAUAUAGCUCGUACAUAAUUUAGUUGAUUUAAAUGUAACACCCUUAACCCCUCUUUGUCGUCGAAUUAAGGUUACGAGUAUUACUGUACGAUUAAAAUAUUUAUAUUUAAUUUCACUCAAUAUCGUAAACAGAACCUAAACCAUUCAUACACACCCAUAUCGUCCCUAAAUCAGGCCCUCAAGGCCCUAAAAAUACUUUAGAAACAAAUUAGGACUGGUUUGAAUUCAUUUGAAAACCUUAAGAAAAAUUCACAAAAAUUUGAAAGCAGGGGUCACACGGCCGUAUGCCUCACAUAACUGAGACGCAUGCCCAUGUCUCAGGUAGUGUAACAAUUGAAAUAGGGACAUAGCUGUAUCCCAGCCUAUGUCCUUGCUCGUGUAACAUUUGAACUUGAGACAAACGACUGUGUCUCAGCCCGUGUAACUCACUAAGUAGGGUUACAUAGCUGUGUCACACGUCCAUGUGUCAGGCCAUGUAACUCUCAAAAUAGCCCUACACGUCCAUGUACCAGGCCGUGUGCUAACUGAAAUGCACCCUAAGCACUCAUCAAGCGACACACAGCCGUGUCACUAAGCCGUGUGUCUCACACGGCCAAGUCACACGCCCGUGUGUCUGGCCGUGUGGACCCAAAAUAUACCUUAAACAACAAGUUUAUCAUUUCCUACUUUCUUGGGCAUUAAGCAACUCAAAAACCAAUCAUUUAACCUUCACAAAAUACGAUGAACAUACUCAAAACAUACCAAAACAAUCAUCUUAGGUGCCUAACUAAUGUAUCCUCAUUGGUACCACAUUUUAUAUCAUCAAAACAUAUCAACAAUGCAUCAUUUAAAUCAAGAUUUUAAGUAUGCCAAAAUCACUCAAUUUAGCCUAACAUAUAACUAUCUAAAACAUCAAACUUAAGUUCACAUACACCUAACAAGCAUUGGUUUAAAACUACAUGCCAAUUUAUGGCUUCAAACACAAACAUAUACUUAUAUUCUCAAACCAACAUUACACUUAUAACUCAAUUUACAAUCCAUUCACAAAAUAACUAUCAAUUAAGACAUCUUAGGUACAUGCCCUUACAAAAAGUAAACAUCACCACACUUGAGAUCGGGAGCACUGUUGGAUGCUAAGCCUAUGAUCAAAAGAGAAGUACCUAAUCUGCACAAAGAAAACAAAACCACACGAUGAGUAAAACUCAGUGAUAUUUCUAUAAUCCGAACAUUGACAUAAUGAUACAGUAAUAUUCAAAUUGAAGUAUACAACAUACCAUUGUCUAAGCUUACAAUUACAAGAUAUCAUUAUUUCAAAUUCAUACAUAUUACCAUAUCAUUUCAUACUAUACUUAAUUUUCACAUGUUAUCAUAUUGGAUUUGUUUAACAAUAUCUCAAUUUACAUCACUUGCUAUAUAAAUAAAUUUUCACAUAUCAAUCCACAUUUCAUUUAUACAAUGACGUUAUUCAUUACAUAUUCAAUUCAUAAGUACAUAACUCAUUUACUUCAUUUGUUCAUAAUAUAUUUCACCUUUCAUUUUUCAAUUCACUAUCUCAUUUCCAUUUCACAUACCAUGCCAUUUCAAUAUCAAUUAUAAAACUUUAUUAUUUAUUUACCCUUAUUAACACGACUUGGACUUGGACCGAUACACAGAUCCAACCAACACACCAGUUUGGCACCCAGUACCUCAUCGACUCGAAGCCAAAGAAAUUAGUGAACUCUUCCUAUCCUAUGGCAUUCCAACCAUAUCCAACUCAGCCCGAUACAGUUAAUAGGGUUUCAUUUCAAUCUUUAAAAACAACCAAUAUCCAAUUCUCAUGUUUGCACAUUAUCAUAUUUCAACAUAUAUUCAUUUCAGUUUCCAAAUACUCAAUACAUUUAUAACAUAUACCAAAUCAAUCAAAUUCAAUCAACUAUGAAGUCAAUUCAAUUGUAAAACAAAAUAAUUCUCACCUCCAAUGCUUACCAUUUGCAAUAAUUCAAAAUGCAAUAAUUUACAACUUAGUUCAGAUUAUUGAAAUACAAAUCGUGGAUUCUGAGCUAUUCAACGUUGAUUUUAUCCUUCUUUUUUUUAGCUGAGGAUUUCGAUAUGACAUUAGCUACGGAAUUAAAACAAUUAAAAUACAAUAAUACUACACAAUUCGAUUCCACAUUGAAUAUUUCAAUUUUUACACAAUAUUUGCUUAAAUUUCAGUUUAGUCUUUAAACUGAGACUAAUUUUUAAUCUUCAAAUUAAAUUUUAUAUUUUCAUUCUCAUUUCACUUUAAACUAAAUUUAACUCCCUAUUUUUAAUUAUACCAUUAAAUUUUAAAUUUUUCACAAUUUAGUCCCUAUUACUCAAAAUCAGGAAUUACUUCACUAUUUAGUCCUUUUUCACUUUUAACUUAAAAUCUAUCAAUUUAAUCCCUAAUACUUAACCUAUACAACAAUAGUAACAUCUAAAAUUCUAAACAAUACUUCAAAUUGCAACACGGGUUGGGUAACCCUAAGAUCGGGAUUUCAAAAACGUAAAAAUUUUAAAAAAAAUGGAUUAAAUUACACUAACCAAUUUGAGCUUGAACUCCUAAGUCCCUAAGCCGUGUGUAUUUCCCUUCUUUUCUUUCUUUUUUCUUUUACCUUUAAUUUGCAUGUUACCACUUUCUUUUUAUUAUUAUAACUUUUAUUAUUUCUUAUUAUAAAAUAACAUAUGUGUAAAUAUACAUUUCAUAAUAAUUAUUAAUAUAACAUAUAUAUCAUACAUGCUAAUGCCGUCCACUAACCUUAGGUAAUCGGAUAAUUGUAACGCCCCAAUUUUCUGGAAUUCUGUGAAUGUUAGCAUAGGUUUAAUUAUGUUAGUGGGCCUCUAGAAGGCCCAAUCUUAAGAUAGAACCCGGUAAUUUUAGUUAAUUUUUGUUCCAUAAGAAAAAUGGAGUGAAAUUAUGAAAUAGGACCUAUGUGAAAAUGUUUGAAAAUGCUAUAGGCUAAUUUGUAGUGGCCAAAUAAAUAGGAGUGCAAAAUAGGAGGAUUUGCAUGACAAACCUCCCAUUUUACAUGAAGUGGCCAGCCAUCAUGUUGUUGUAGACAAUAUGAGCACUUGAUAUUCAUAAUUCAUGGUACAAAUUGAUAAUGGGUUAGGUAAAUGUUCCAUGAUAAUAGAUUAGGUAAAUAUUCCAUGAUAAUGGGUUAGGUAAAUGUUUCAUGAUAAUGGUUUAGGUAAAUGUUCCAUGAUGGGCAUUUCAUGUCUUUUGUAUUAAAGAAUUAAAUGGAUAAAAUGUGAAAUUUUAUUAAAAUAAAAAGGGGUGAAAAGAACAAAGUUUUGUCCAUCUUUGUUCAUCAUAGCCUAAAGUUAGAGAAGAGAAAGGAGAGAAGAAAGCUCUUGAAUGUUCAGUCACUUGGGGAAGAAAAUUGAAGGUAAGUUCAUGGUAGUUUGCUUCUAUCUUGAUGUUCAUGAGUUCUUCUUGAUUCUACCUUAACUCUUGAAGCAUAUUUUGGUUUUUAGUUGUGCUGUGAGCAUUUGGUCAUGAAUUAAAAUGAAGGAAAUGGUUGUUGUUUCAUGUUCUUUUGAUAAAAAAUGGAAGAUAGGUGAAGUUGAGCCAAACAAAUGAACAUGCAUGUGCCUUAUAUGCUAAAGGGAAAAAUCGGCUAAAAUGUUGUGCUUUAAAAUGAUGAAAUGGAGAUUAUACUUAAGUAAAAUCAUAGAUAUGUGGUGAUUGAUUGGUGAUAUACAUGUUUAAAUAACAUGCAUGCAAGGUAUGCGUGAAAGAGUGAUUUGGUAAUAAAUCUGCUUGGGAUAGCAGCAGUAACGUGACUUUGGAAAAUCACCAUAAAUUGUGGGAGAUGAGUUAGAAGCUGCAUAAAUUAUGUAAUUAAAUAUUAAUGAGUCUAGUUUCAAAUGAAAUAAACAAGAACAUAUUUUGAAUUCUGUACAAUGAGAAAUUUGAUUCGUAAUGAAGAGUGGUCAGAUUUGUCAAACAGUGAAACAUGUGAAACUUUGAGAAAAGUUUGGUAUUGAUUGGCCAAACAAAAAAUUCUGAAAAUUUUAUGGAUAUAAGAUAUAUGAGUCUAUUUUCAGGGAAAAUUAACGGCACUUGAUUUGGAGUUUAGUAGCUCUAGUUAUAAAUGAUUUAGUGACUGUUGCUCAGGAAGACAGGUUGCAGUGAAAUUAUGAUUAUGUGGUAAACAUUGACAAAAAUUUGUUAAUGAGUUACUUAUUGAUUUUCUUAUAAGCUUACUAUGAUCUGUAGGUGUGGUUGGCCAAAUAUUGUAAGGGGUUAAUACGUAGUUUGUAUUUGAAUAGUUAGAUUAACGUGUUAGUAAUCCAAUUGUAGGCAGUUCGUGUGUGGAUCUCGUCAGUAUAUCUUCGCAAACAGGUGUGUAACUAACACCUUCUUUCUUAGUCUAGAUCGGUAAAAGUCGAAAAGCCAAAAUGCUGAAAACCGGUAUUCUGUAGAUUUGCGAGUGUGCGAAUGCUCGUGAGGUAAAUCGAUUAAUGUUUUUGGUAAGCUGCAAUGUUUGGACUGUAAAGUGCAUGAUUUCUGUGCCCUCGAUAUUUUUGGGCUUAAUGGGCCAAAAUUGGAAUGAUGGGCCAACAGGCCCAAUUCGGUAAGAACCCUCGGUAGUGAUUCUGUUAGUAUGUGAAAGGUAAGAAUAUGCAUGAAAAACCCUAAAAUAGAUAAAUUACUGAAAUACCUUUAAAAGUGGAAAAUUUACAGUUUUACCCCUAGUAGAUAAAUUAUCGAAAUACCCGUAGGGUUAAAUUGACCUAAAUGCAUGUUUGACUGUUGUUAUUUACUGCAUGCCAUGUUGUUAUUAUCUGAUGCAUGGGAUUGGGAUAUUGACGGAGGAAGUACUGAAAGUGGCUUGUCCACAUACUGGAGGCUUUGCCUCAAUUUACUGUUAACUGAGCAGCAAGGCUGCAACUGUGGAGUGUUGGGCUGGGUGGGUUGAGCUAUUCCCCACAUGGAGUGUAUGGCUGGUACGGGUGGAGUGUAGUGGUUGGUGGGUUAAGUAGUCUCCCCAAAUGGGCUCGCAUAUGUUUACUGAUGUUGCAUGUAUUUUGAAAUGGGCCUAUGGGCCAUACUGUUAUCUGAAUAAGGGGCUAAGGCCCAGUUUAUUGUAAUCUGAAAAGGGCUCUGGUCCAGUACCACUGUUACCUAAAUGGGCUAAUGCCCAAUAGGCUUGAGCUGACUUAGGCUUUGAAUGGGUUUUCCUUACACACUGAGUUUCCCCAAACUCACCCCUUUUAUUUUCAUCCACGCAGGAAAUCCCCAACCAUAGUGGGCUUGGAGCUGUGAGGGAAUUCGGAGUGGCCACCCGUUCUGAAAGUUUGAUUUUCUUCUGGUGAACUGGACAUCCUUUUAUUUACGUUUGAAGUUUUUGGGCUUUUAAAUGUAAUAAGGCCGCUUAAUUAUUUUUGAUAGUUUUAAUAUGUAUUACUAAGAUAGGUAAUAAGUAUUUUAACUGUUGAAAUUGGAUAGCUUUAGGGCGUGUUUUCAAAAACAACAAUUGAUUUCAAAAUAACACGACAAUAAGCAAAGCUUCCGCAAUGAAAGUAUUUUCCAAAAUUAAUCACUUUUCCUAAAAAUGACUUAAUCAAAUCGGUUUCCUAGAAAUAUCCAUGACGUUAAGGUGUGGCAAUGGCGGUAUGCAUGUCUAAGAUUAGAUCCGAAGGGAGCUUGGUACUUAAGCAGUCCGGUGGACUCACCACCUCUUUUUCGGUUUCCUACCUGGUGCACAGCUUCCAUUCACUUUAACCUUUAAUGAAUUAAUCUUUUGAACAUCAAGUACGAUUUUCUGGACUUAGAAUGGAAUUUUUUUUUAUGUUUUUGAUGUGGCAUGCCGGAUCCGGCCAUAACUUCUGGGCCGGGUUUGGGGUGCUACAUUUAGUGGUAUCAGAGCCUAGAUUGCAACAACUCGGCUGUGGAAUGGGUUUACAAAAACAAAUAUUUUCGAAAGCGAAAAUUUUAUAAAGAAUUCGAAAAACUCGAUUUUCGAAAUUUAGAUCUUUAGAAGGUGGCAUUCCGAAUCUCCGGCUCAAGUCUGUAAGUAUUCUGAAUUUUUCUGAAUAUUUUCCUGAAUUAUCUGUCUGUACUAAAAUCCUGCUAGGAUACUCUAGAUAGGAUGAUACUGAAACCAUAGUAAAAUCUGAUAAGAGACUGAAACUGUAGCUAGACUUCGAUUCUGCGAAAACAAACUUUGAACUACUGUCUGAUUCAUAAAACAUCUGUAAUAAACACUGGAAUAUUAAUUGAUGCAUAAAAAUUCGUAAUCAAGAUAAUACGAUAUGAGUACAAGAGGCCGUGGACGGAGCCGAGGAAGUGCUCGAGCGAGAUCUUCAUCUUCGAGACAUAUGCCGGUGGUGGAUGCACCGGUACCACCGGUAACAAAGGUAGAGUCUCAUGACCGCGGUGCCGAGGAUGAUGCCCUGUCACAGGCAAUGUGCAUAAGGCGACCCUAGAUUGUGUUGCUAAACGAAUGGUGUUAAGGACCACAAAGGAUGAGGAGGUUAUGGUGAUAGGUGAGCGAAGGGAUUAUUUGUCCAAUGUGGUGUCGGCAUUAAGGGCCGAAAAGUGGAUUCGGAAAGGUUGUGAGGUCUAUUUGGCAUUUGUAAGUUAGUCGAAAGAGGAGGGAUUGACAGUGGAUAAGAUUAGGACCAUAAAGUAGUUCCAAGAUGUUUUUCCGAAGGAGCUUCCAGGAUUGCCUCCGAACCGAGAAGUGGAGUUUAGAAUCGACUUAUUGCCUGGAACAGCACCAGUGUCUAUCGCACCAUAUAGAAUGGCACCGAAGGAGUUGGUAGAGCUAAAGGCACAAAUUCAAGAGUUGUUGGAUAGGGGCUUCAUUAGGCCAAGCGUGUCUCCGUGGGGAGCACCGGUGCUAUUCGUGAAAAAGAAGGAUGGUACGAUACGGAUGUACAUUGAUUAUCGCCAGUUGAACAAACUGACGAUUAAAAAUAAGUAUCCACUGCCAAGGAUUGACAAUCUGUUUGACCAGCUUAGAGGGGCUUCUGUAUUUUCUAAGAUCGACCUCCGAUCUGGAUAUCAUCAGUUAAGGGUUAAGGAGGCGGAUAUCCAUAAGACGACAUUCAGGACUCGGUAUGGUCAUUACGAGUUUUUGGUUAUGCCAUUUGGACUGACGAACGCUCCUGCAGCAUUCACUACAGGAAAAUAGGGCUUUAACGGCGUUUUAUCAAAAAACGCCGCAAAAAUUGUAAAACACAGAGCAAUAGCGGCGUUUUGACAAAAACGCCACUAAAAAUUGAGCAAUAGCGGCGUUUUUUGUUAAAACGCCGCCAAAAACAGAGCAUUAGCGGCGCUUUUGGUGAAACGCCGCUAAAGACCAGAGCAUUAGCGGCGCUUUUGGUAAAACGCCGCUAAAGACCAGAGCAUUAGCGGCGCUUUUGGUAAAACGCCGCUAAAUACCAGAGUAACUCCUAAAAUCUUAAACCCCAAAAAAACAUAAAACACUAAUCUAUAACCCUUAAAUAGUAAAGCCCUAAACACUAAACUAUAACCCCUAAAACCCUAAACGCCACAAUAGGUGCAUUUUUAGUGGCGCUAGGUUAUAAACGCUGCUAAUGUUAAAUUAUUUUGUUCAAAACUUCGUUGUUUAGCUGUCUUAUUUUUUACCCACACCUGAUACACUUAACAUUUUUCCUAUUUUUCCCCAGUUCUAUUUCCCCCUUCUUCCUCAUCCUAAAUCCCUAAAGUAUUAUCACCCAUUCCCAAAUUCGACAUCCUAAAUCCCUAACGAAUUUAUGGUAAAGUAACAGAUUAAAUAAGGUCUUAUUUUUAUUUUGAAUUUGAUUUAUUUUGAUCAUAUCUAAAACCGACUUUAUAAACAAUAUAAAUUAACUAGACCAUUCACUUAGCUAUGGGAAAGUUAAUUUCAUUUUAGUUACUUAAUCAUGAAAAGUUACACUUUGAUAACUAAACUAUUUAAUUAGAAGUUUCCAUUUAAUUAAGUUACGAAGCUAUUAAAAACAAUGUUAUGGCUUUCUUUAAACCCUAACCCCUUAAAUCAAUAAUCCUUUAACCCCCAAACCUUAAAUCUCUAAUCAUAAAUCCCUAAAACUAUAAACACUAAUCAAUGUUAUGGAUAUUAAGUAUAUAUAUGUUCAUGGUCUAGGAUUUAGGGUUUAUGGUUUAAGAUUUGGGGUUUAAUUUUUAGUGUUUAGGGGUAAAUAUGGUGAACUACUUAACUUGUGUAUACUGGAUUUUUUUAUAAUAUAAAUCUAAAUAAGAUAAAUAUAAAUUAUUAUUUUUACAAAAUAUAUAUAAAAAUGGGUUAAAUCCCAAAAGCAUACGUGAACAAUGGUUUAAUGUGCAAUUGUAUACAUGCAUGAACUUUAAUUUGAUCCAGUUCUUGUAAAUUAUUAACACAAUUAUAUUGCAUAUAUAAAUAUUUAUAUUUAUUCAAUAUAAAAAUAUAUUGAUGUAUUUAUACUUAAAAGAAUAAUACUUGUAUUGCUUUGUCAUUUUGUAUUUUUUUAAUUCAUCGAUUCCAUUUUAUUUCUAUUAAAGUUUCCUUUUGUGUUUUAUAUGUUAAUUUAAAAAUUAUAACAAUAUUCAAAAAAAUUUAAAAUUUAAAAAUAAAAAAAUAAAAAAUAAAAAAAUUAAAAUUUAAAAUUUAAAAAUAAAAAACUUAAAAAUUUAAUAUUUAAUAUUUUAAUUCAUAUUUCAGUUAAAAAAUUCAAUAUUUAAUAUUUAAAAAUAAAUAAAAAAAUGUUAAAAAUAAAAAAAAUGUUAAAAAUAAAAAAAAUUAAAAUUAAACAAUAGUGGCGUUUUUACUAAAAAUGCUGCAAAAGAUUAAGCUAUAGUGGCGUUUUUUUAUGAAAACGCCGCAAAAGACCAAUAAUUUUUGAUUACCCGCCGAUUAUUCCCUCUUCUUCUCAUCUCUUUCGCGUGCCCUAAAUCCCCCAAGUAAAAGUUUGUACUUAAUUCUUUUUCCUUUUAUUCUGAAAAUUUGCCCCCAAAUUUCCCAUUUCCAACAACACCAAAUGUCUGAGGACGACGAGAGGCAGCAAUCUCUACCGUCGGAUCUUGAGUUCUUUGUAAUGGCUUUUGCUUCUUCUUUUUUUCCGACGCUUGAUGGCCUUCUCUGAAUCUGUACGUUCUCUCUCCUUCCCCCCCUUUUCUUUUCUUUUUUUGUUUUUUGCUUUGUUUUCUUUUCAAACAUUUCAUAUCUUUAAAAUUAAGGUUUUUAAAUCUGUCUGAUCUAUUACAUUGAUGUUGUUUUGUUUGACUUAAUGUAUUUUCUUCUGGUUAUGAACGGUUUCUAGUAGAUCUGAACGAUUCUCUUCUUAUAUUUUUUUUCUUCUUUUUCUUUUCCCUUUUCGUGAAGUACAUAUAAACAUUACGUACAAUGUUGUUUUGUUGAUUGCAUAUUAUGACUAUAAGAUUCCCAACUUAUCUUUUCUGAGAUUUAGUUUCAGAUUUGCUUAUAGGUGAGAUUUAGUAUACUGACAACCUGCAAAAACAAAACAGAAUCUCUUGUAUCUGUGUUUGAAGUUAGAGUUGUUCAAGUCAAAACCAACUUUGGGUUUUUGAAUUGAUUAUCUUAGACUCAGUUCUGCUCAAAAGGGUAGGUCUGUUAAAUAUUUUUUUACUUCGGCUUCCAUUUGUUCUUGGUGAUAGAUGAUCCUGUGGUCGAAAUUCGGGUUGACCCCACCUUUGGGAGUCUUCUUUCUGCAGUUAUGAAUGUUCAGGAAGAAAAAGAGUAAUAAUUGGAUGUCCUUUUAAUCAUUCUCUUUUUUUUUUUUUUUGCUUAACUAUGUAUGUGAUCUAUCCCUGGUGCUGCUCUGUUCUUCAUUCGGUUGCUGGGUUUCACUUUUACUGAAUGUUUCUUCAUUUUUGGUAUAUAGAUGAUGUCUCCAAGACUUAACUUCUGGUCUAUUUUUUUAGCUUCCUUAGUGCGGGGUUUAAACUUUGAAGUUGUGCCACUUAAUCUGAGAUUUUUAAUUUCUUUUCAGCCUUUGGAGAUCCUCUCAGUUCCAAGAUAUUAUAUUUUGGUUAGAUAUCGGGCAUCGGAUUUGUCUUUUUCUGUUGCUUAUCGUGAUUAAUAUUUCUGGUUUCAAUUGGUUUGCAGGAUUUUGGUGGCGGCUUCUAAUUCUCAGUCGGCUUUUUCAUGGAUUUGAAGUGAAGAUUAGAUUUGAAGUGCUGGGUUCGUUUCCUGCAAAAUAAAAUUUGGAUUUUCAAAUUGAGUUGUAUCGGCAUCAAUCCAGCGGAUACUGAGCAAGCUCUAAGUACUUGUUCAUAGCUUGAGAAUUUAUAUUGAUUCUGUAUGGAAAUGACUUCAAGAAUUUAUAGUGUUCCUUCUGUUGUUUAUAAUUUUUGUUGCAUGUUUAUGUAUAUUUUUAAUUAUUUCGGAAAAUGGAAUAUGGUUGUUGAAAUUCCUUGUCUUUUCCUACUUGCUAUUGUCACUGGUACUAGGUUAGGCGCCUUCUAUGCUCUGCAAGACCUGUGGCUAUCCAAACAUCAGCCAAUCCAAGUGCCUCUGAUCAGGAUCUUCAACAGGUAUGCUUCUUUUGUUGCUUGAUAUGAAUGCUGUAUAGUCACCUCUUUUCCCUCUUGCACAUUGUAGCUUAAGUUGUAAUCAUUUUCUAAUAAAUUGGUCUGACAAUAUAUGGUACCACAUGUAUAUCUAUAUAUGCUUAGAUCAAUAUUCUUAAAACACACUGGAUGCAUUAGCCUACAAUUUCCUCCUUCCUUUGAUAAUGCCCUUGAUAGUUUCUUUACAAGGAGAUAGUGAUAAUGUUUGAGGGCUUGCAAAAUACCCUUGAGAUUUUAACAUGAAUAUCUGACAGGAUAUGCAAACAACUUACAUGAUGAGAUUCAUUUAGUUUGGUAGUCUCUUCUAUCUGACAUGUUAGCUGUCAUUUUAGAAGAGUAAUAACAUGAUGAUUAUAGUUUGCUCUGCACAUAACUCAACGCAGAUUGCAUACAUUAAUGUUGUUUUGUUUGUUCAGGCUCAACUGUGGCAGCUUGCACAAAGGACUACUGCUCUUCCUCUUGGCCGUGGGGCAUUUACUUUAGCAACCAUAUAUACUCUAUUAACAGAGGUACUCACUCUUUUGGAGUUUUACAUUUAUUUUCAUCAAUUGAUUGUUUUCUUAUGAGAUUGAUUACCUUAAGAUGCAUGCCACUUUUUUCCUGAUGGAAUCUCUUGCCACUUUAUGCUGGCCUUUACUGUACCAAAGCUUGUUUUAGCAGGGCGGUUGCCAGCCCAACAAAAUGCAACUGUAGGUCCAGCAAUAAUUCUUUUGCUAUUUCUUUUUUUCUUUUUAACAUGCAUUUGUUCUUUGGGUGAUAUCAUAUAUACUGUCAAGUUUCCCCGUGAGUGAGCAACUGUAUUAUCAUUUAUGGAAAAUUUGAACUAGAAAGCUUUCAGCAAAAUAUUAUUAUAUAUGGCGUAUAAUCCUUGCUCUAUGUUUUCAAGAUUUAUUGCCUAUUUUUUUAAACUGUAGGAAGCUUGGGUUAAGAAUUCUGUGUUUAGCCACAGAAACCAUUUGUAAUUCUGUUCUUCUCCUUACUGUUCUUUCUUUUAAACAUUCUCCCAUUUAUCUCCUUUGCAUCAUUUCAGUUUUUUUUUUCCUUUUUGUAUUUAUUUUCUACAAUUGUUGUGCUGAUAGGUUAAUCUUGAUCCAAGCAUAAGGAACAUUCAAGAACUCAAGUCAUGGCCUGAGUUCCACAAUGCUGUUGCUGCCGGGUUAAGAUUGGCCCCACUUCAGGUUUAUAUGAUAUCUUUUGGAAGUACAAUACCAGUUUUACAGUGGGCCAAAAGUUCCUGUUUCUUCAUGAAUUUAUUCUUUGAAAAUUGCUUAUGUUGGCUGUUUUUAUUUAUUUUUUUAUUUAUUUAUGAAUAUACAGUUAAAAGUACCUCGUAAAAUUUGAGACUGUAUGUUGCCAUUUAUGUUCUUUAAUUUUCUUUUUCUCUUGCUCAGUUGUUGUGCUAAUAUAUUAUGUGGUUUACGCAUGCUUGCUUCCCCUGUUGUCAUUAUCUUCAUAGCUCAUCAUGGCCAUGCUUCUCAUUGUUAUCUGAAUUACAUCUUGUGUUGUUCAGCAUCAUAGAGUCAUACUAACCCCAUCCUUAACCUGUGUUUCAGUCUUUCCACUGCAGGCAUGGAAAGGCUUAUCUCUUUGAUAAGGUGUAAGUAUUUCAUUGCUAUGCACUCUUUUUUUUUUUUUUUUUCUCCAUGGAGUGUUCUCUAAAAAUAGUCUUAUCUAUUUUAAAACCAUGCUCAUGAUUUCACUUUCUAUGCAUUUCAUUGUGUUUGGAAGAAACAAAGAAGUGUUUGGAAUAAAUAAAUAAAUGUUGUCAGCAUGUUAGCACCACAGUUCAAUGGUUAUAUACUUAAAAAGAAGAUUCAUAAUAAUUAAUUAAUUUACAUCAUCAAGUGGAUUAUUGAUAACUUCUAUCUCUUGAUUAUAGAAUUAUUAGUUUUAUUUCAUACAAAAACUAAAAUCAUUCCACACCGAACAUCUAGCAAAACUAAAUAGAAUUAUUGUUACCGAUCCCGUUUCGAGCUGAGGAGAGUGCAGUUGUGUCGGUUAGAGGUGAUAUGAGUGUGAAAGGGCAGAAGGCUGAGGUGGGUGUUAAUGAUAUGGAGGGUUCGGUAGGAUUUUCGGAUUCAAACGAUUUUGGGUUUGUGGGUAAUGAGAGUCAUUCAGAGGGAGUGGGAGAUGAGGAGAUUCCAGGGUUUAAUUUGAAUUCUGCUGGACUACUUGGGAGACCACAGGUAAACAAACAGAUCAAUAAAUUGGGAAUCUUUUUGGGGGAUAGUUUGGUACUUGAAUUUAUGAACUUUGUUUGUGUUAAAUUCUUGAAAAAUUACUGUUUUAGCUUGUAAGAUUGAUUUAGUAAUUGCGGCGAGUGCUCUUUAUUUCUUAUCCAGCUUGGACCAGUGCUCUUUGUACGAGAUACAACACUUCUUUUACCAGUUCAUCUAUCAAAGCAACAUUUACUAAUUUAGCAAAUUCUAGUGGUAGUCAGCUCGUUUUUAUCUAAUUUGACUUCUUUGUUGGCUGUUUAUAGGUUGUGUCUAAAUAUCUGAAGUGUUUAUACAAAUGUAAGUACUACUUUCAACCUUUUUUGAUUUGAUAGUUAAUGGAUUCUAUGAAAGCUCGUUUUCAGGUUGCUUAAGAGAGUAGAUGUUCCUGAAUUGAAGUUCACCUUGUAUUUUAUGAGCUAUUAGAUUCAAGUGAUCCAGUUGAUAGAACAGUUAAUCAUUAUUCCUCUACCUUGCAGUGUGUUUAACACUUGAAUGUUUCCUAUACAGUAAUUGGGAUACUGAAAGUGACUAGGAGUUCGAAGGAUACCAAACCGGGAAUUCAGAACCUUUAGGCUCUGGUAUGAAUAGUCCUUGCCUCUUGUAAUAUGUGGAUUGUGUAUUGAAGGAGUUUUUGGGAUUUCUUAGGUACUAAAAAUGCCCUUUUGCUUUUUUCAGGACAUAUUGGCAUCACCCUGGAUGAUACAAUCAAAGCAUGUGAAAGAUUCCAACGCCUUGGAGUAGAGUUCAGCAAAAAACAAUUAUGUAUAUCACAUGGAGAUUAUUUAAGACUAGAGCAUGCAAAUAUUUUCUAAAAGUGCUUUUGUUCAUGCCUAGUUUAUCAAUCUCAUUUGUACGGUAUGCAUUCAUCAAGGAUCCUAAUGUUUUUGGAAGAAUUUUAGUUAAUUUUAGUUUUGAUUCUAAAUUUUUAUUUUUAUUUCAAUAUUUUUAGUUAAAAUUUUAAUAGAAAAUUUAAUUUGAUAAUGAAUUUUAAUAGAAAAUUUUAUAUUUAUAUCAUGGAUAUUAUUCUUCUCAAUAUUUUGAUAAUGAAUUUUAAAUUUUUUAUAUUUUUCAUGAUUUUUAUAAUAUAUACUUUUUUAAAAUUUCAUUACCUUUAGCGGCGUUUUUAGGUAAAGCGCCGCUAAAGGUCGUGACCUUUAGCGGUGUUUGUGGGAAAAAGUGUCGCUAAAGGUCAAGACCUUUAGCGGCGUUUGUGGGAAAAGCGCCGUUAAAGGUCAUGACCUUUCACUAAAGUUUGUGGCGUUUAUUUAAAAAAAACGCCACAAACUUUAGUGGCGCCAUUUAUAGCGGCGUUUUUUGCAGCGCUUAUAAAAACGGGUGAUUUAUGGAUCUAAUGAAUCGGGUGUUCCAACCAUUCUUGGAUCGAUUCGUAGUCGUCUUUAUUGAUGAUAUCCUGAUAUAUUCUGAAAAUGAAGUGAAACAUGAUGAGCAUCUCCGUAUAGUGCUGCAAGUGUUAAGGAAGAAGGAACUUUUUGCGGAGUUCAGCAAGUGUGUGGUUGAGGGAGGUAACCUUCUUAGGACAUGUGGUCUCUGUCGAAGGGAUUAAGGUGAACCCUCGAAAGAUUAAAGCAAUUUUAGAGUGGAAGCCACCUAGGACGGUGUCGGAAAUUCGAAGCUUCCUAGGGUUGGCAGGAUAUUACAGAAGGUUUGUGGAAGGUUUUUCUGUUAUGGCAGCACCCCUGACAAAACUAAUAAGGAAAGGAGAACCGUUUGUAUGGACUGAGAAGCAGCAGGAAGCUUUUGAGAAGUUGAAGAAAGCUCUGACUGAAGCACCUGUGUUGAUUCAACCGGAGUCUGGGAAGGAUUUUACUGUGUACAGUGACGCAUCACACGUGGGUUUGGGCUGCGUGUUAAUGCAGGAGGGUAAGGUGGUUGCAUAUGCAUCAUGACAACUUAAACCUCACGAAGAGAACUAUCCUACUCAUGAUUUGGAGUUGGCGGCAGUGAUAUUUGCACUUAAGAUUUGGAGACAUUACUUGUACAGGGAGAGGUGUAUUAUAUACAUUAACCACAAGAGUCGUAAGUAUUUGUUGACUCAGAAGGAGCUGAACCUUAGGCAAAGGAGAUGGAUUGAGUUGCUUAAGGAUUACGACUGUUCGAUCGAGUAUCACCCAGGUAAGGCUAAUGUGGUAGCCGAUGCUCUAAGUCGUAGAGCUGUAUCUGAUCUGAGAGCAAUGUUUGCUCGUUUGAGUCUGUAUGAUGAUGGAAGUCUGUUGGCUGAGUUGCAAGUGAGACCAACCUGGGUGGAUCAGAUUAAGGAAAAGCAGUUGAACGAUGAGUCUUUGGUCGCUCAUUUCCAACAAGUUAAGGAAGGGGAAACUUCUGAGUUUGGGUUAGAUGACGAAGGAGUUCUGUGUUUUCGAGGAAGAAUUUAUGUUCCGGAGGACUCUGAUUUGAGGCAGACAAUAUUGAAGGAAGUUCAUGGAAGACUAUGUGCCAUGCAUCCUGGAGGGAAUAAGUUGUAUCACGACUUGCGAGCAUUGUACUGGUGGCCUGGACUUAAACGAGAAGUAACAGAAUUUGUAGGGAAAUGUUUGACAUGCCAGCAAGUGAAAGCUGAGCAUCAAUUACCCUCUGGAAUGUUACAGUCAGUGAAGAUACCACUUUGGAAGUAGGAGAGGGUAACCAUGGACUUUGUGAGUGGGCUGCCCUUGACACCAUCGAAGAAAGACUCGGUGUGGGUGAUUGUGGAUAGGUUGACCAAAUCAGCCCAUUUCAUACCUGUUUGUACUGACUUUUCACUUCAAAAGUUAGCUAAGUUGUAUGUGGCAGAGAUUGUACGACUUCAUGGAGUCCCAGUUUCAAUUAUUUCUGAUCGGGAUCCCAGAUUUACAUCUCGAUUUUGGAAAAAGUUGCAUGAGGCGUUGGGGACGCGAUUGAAUUUUAGUACGGCUUUCCAUCCCCAGACUGAUAGUCAAUCGGAAAGGGUUAUUCAGAUUCUGGAGGACAUGUUGAGGGGAUGCGUGAUUGACUUUCGAGGUAGUUGGGAGGAUUACUUGCCGUUGGCAGAAUUUGCGUACAAUAACAGUUUCCAGGCGAGUGUUCGAAUGGCACCGUAUGAAGCACUGUAUGGACGAAGCUGUCGUACACCUAGUUGUUGGACCGAACUAGGAGAGCGAGAAGUUCUUGGACCAGAGCUGGUAGCUGAUACUGAGGAUAAGGUCAGAAUAAUUAGGGAUCGAUUAAAGGAGGCAUCUGAUAGACAAAAGUUGUAUGCAGAUUUGAAGCGUAAGGAGAUUGAGUACUCAAUAGGUGAUAUGGUCUUCUUAAAGAUUUCUCCUUGGAAGAAGAUAUUAAGGUUCGGUAAAAAGGGCAAGUUGAGUCCGCGGUUCAUUGGGCCUUAUCGGGUUUUGAAGCGAGUAGGCCCAGUGGCUUAUCAGUUGGAAUUGCCUCUAGAGUUAGACAGGAUUCACGAUGUUUUUUUCACGUCUCCAUGUUAAGGCGUUAUCGUUCUGACCCUGCUCAUGUCGUGCCAGUUGCAGAAAUUGAAGUUCAGACUGAUUUGACCUUUGAGGAGGAGCCUGUGCAAAUAUUGGCUCGAGAUGUUAAGGUUCUUAAAAGGAAAUCUGUCCCGUUAGUGAAAGUACUUUGGCGUAAUCAUGGAAGGGAAGAAGCUACUUGGGAAUCAGAAGAGACUAUGCGUCAACAAUACCCUCAACUAUUUGGAUCAGGUAAAUUUCGAGGCUGAAAUUUCUUUAAGGGGGUAGAGUUGUAACGCCCCAAUUUUCUGGAAUUCUGUGAAUGUUGGCAUAGGUUUAAUUAUGUUAGUGGGCCUCUAGAAGGCCCAAGCUUAAGAUAGAACCAGGUAAUUUUAGUUAAUUUUUGUUCCAUAAGAAAAAGGGAGUGAAAUUAUGAAAUAGGACCUAUGUGAAAAUGUUUGAAAAUGCUAUAGGCUAAUUUGUAGUGGCCAAAUAAAUAGGAGUGCAAAAUAGGAGGAUUUGCAUGACAAACCUCCCAUUUUACAUGAAGUGGCCAGCCAUCAUGUUGUUGUAGACAAUAUGAGCACUUGAUAUCCAUAAUUCAUGAUACAAAUUGAUAAUGGGUUAGGUAAAUGUUCCAUGAUAAUAGAUUAGGUAAAUAUUCCAUGAUAAUGGGUUAGGUAAAUGUUCCAUGAUAAUGGUUUAGGUAAAUGUUCCAUGAUGGGCAUUUCAUGUCUUUUGUAUUAAAGAAUUAAAUGGAUGAAAUAUAAAAUUUUAUUAAAAGAAAAAGGGGUGAAAAGAACAAAGUUUUGUCCAUCUUUGUUCAUCAGAGCCUAAAGUUAGAGAAGAGAAAGGAGAGGAGAAAGCUCUUGAAUGUUCGGUUACUUGGGGAAGAAAAUUGAAGGUAAGUUCAUGGUAGUUUGCUUCUAUCUUUGAUGUUCAUGAGUUCUUCUUGAUUCUACCUUAACUCUUGAAGCAUAUUUUGGUUUUUAGUUGUGCUGUGAGCAUUUGGUCAUGAAUUAAAAUGAAGGAAAUGGUUGUUGUUUCAUGUUCUUUUGAUGAAAAAUGGAAGAUAGGUGAAGUUGAGCCAAACAAAUGAACAUGCAUGUGCCUUAGAUGCUAAAGGGAAAAAUCGGCUAACAUGUUGUGCUUUAAAAUGAUGAAAUGGAGAUAAUACUUAAGUAAAAUCAUAGAUAUGUGGUGAUUGAUUGGUGAUAUACAUGUUUAAAUAACAUGCAUGCAAGGUAUGUGUGAAAGAGUGAUUUGGUAAUAAAUCUGCUUGGGACAGCAGCAGUAACGUGACUUUGGAAAAUCACCAUAAAUUGUGGGAGAUGAGUUAGAAGCUGCAUAAAUUAUGUAAUUAAAUAUUAAUGAGUCUAGUUUCAAAUGAAAUAAACGAGAACAUAUUUUGAAUUCUGUACAAUGAGAAAUUUGAUUUGUAAUGAAGAGUGGUCAGAUUAGUCAAACAGUGAAACAUGCGAAACUUUGAGAAAAAUCUGGUAUUGAUUGGCCAAACAAAAAAUUCUGAAAAUUUUAUAGAUAUAAGAUAUAUGAGUCUAUUUUCAGGGAAAAUUAACGACACUUGAUUUGGAGUUUCGUAGCUCUAGUUAUAAAUGAUUUAGUAACUGUUGCUCAGGAAGACAGCUUGCAGUGAAAUUAUGAUUAUGUGGUAAACAUUGACAAAAAUUUGUUAAUGAGUUGCUUAUUGAUUUCUUAUAAGCUUACUAUGAUCUGUAGGUGUGGUUGGCCGAAUAUUGUAAGGGGUUAAUACGUAGUUUGUAUUUGAAUAGUUAGAUUAACGUGUUAGUAAUCCAAUUGUAGGCGGUUCGUGUGUGGAUCUCGUCAGCAUAUCUUCGCAAACAAGUGUGUAACUAACACCCUCUUUCUUAGUCUAGAUCGGCAAAAGUCGAAAAGCCAAAAUGCCGAAAACCGGUAUUUUGUAGAUUUACGAGUGUGCGAAUGCUCGUAAGGUAAAUCGAUUAAUGUUUUUGGUAAGCUGCAAUGUUUGGACUGUAAAGUGCAUGAUUUCUGUGCCCUCGAUAUUUUUGGGCUUAAUGGGCCAAAAUUGGAAUGAUGGGCCAACGGGCCCAAUUCGGUAAGAACCCUCGGUAGUGAUUCUGUUAGUAUGUGAAAGGUAGGAAUAUGCAUGAAAAACCCUAAAAUAGAUAAAUUAUUGAAAUACCUUUAAAAGUGGAAAAUUUACAGUUUUACCCCUAGUAGAUAAAUUACCGAAAUACCCGUAGGGUUAAAUUGACCUAAAUGCAUGUUUGACUGUUGUUAUUUACUGCAUGCCAUGUUGUUAUUAUCUGAUGCAUGGGAUUGGGAUAUUGACGGAGGAAGUACUGAAAAUGGCUUGUCCACGUACUAGAGGCUUUGCCUCAAUUUACUGUUAACUGAGCAGCAAGGCUGCAAUUGUGGAGUGUUGGGCUGUUUGGGUUGAGCUAUUCCCCACAUGGAGUGUAUGGCUAGUAGUCUCCCCAAAUGGGCUUGCAUAUGUUUACUGAUGUUGUAUGUAUUUUGAAAUGGGCCUAUGGGCCAUACUGUUAUCUGAAUAAGGGGCUAAGGCCCAGUUUAUUGUAAUCUGAAAAGGGCUCUGGUCCAGUACCACUGUUACCUGAAUGGGCUAAUGCCCAAUAGGCUUGAGCUGACUUGGGCUUUGAAUGGGUUUUCCUUACACACUGAGUUUCCCCAAACUCACCCCUUUUAUUUUCAUCCACACAGGAAAUCCCCAACCAUAGUGGGCUUGGAGCUGUGAGGGAAUUCGGAGUGGCCACCCGUUCUGAAAGUUUGAUUUUCUUCUGGUGAACUGGACAUCCUUUUAUUUACGUUUGAAGUUUUUGGGCUUUUAAAUGUAAUAAGGCCGCUUAAUUAUUUUUGAUGGUUUUAAUAUGUAUUACUAAGAUAGGUAAUACUUAUUUUAACUGUUGAAAUUGGAUAGCUUUAGGGCGCGUUUUCGAAAACAACAAUUGAUUUCAAAAUAACACGACAACAAGCAAAGCUUCCACAAUAAAAGUAUUUUCCAAAAUUAAUCACUUUUCCUAAAAAUGACUUAAUCAAAUCGGUUUCCUAGAAAUAUCCAUGACGUUAAGGUGUGGCAAUGGCGGUAUGCAUGUCUAGGAUUGGAUCCGAAGGGAGCUUGGUACUUAAGCAGUCCGAUGGACUCACCACCUCUUUUCCGGUUUCCUACCUGGUGCAUAGCUUCCAUUCACUUUAACCUUUAAUGAAUUAAUCUUUUGAACAUCAAGUAUGAUUUUCUAGACUUAGAAUGGAAUUUUUUUUUUUACGUUUUUGAUGUGGCAUGACGGAUCCGGCCAUAACUUCUGGGCCGGGUUUGGGGUGCUACAAUAAUUACUACUUUAGUUCCUCUAUUAAUUUUUAAUCUAUAAUUCAACUUUUAACCCUUAUGCGAUUUAGUCCUUAUACCUUAAUAAUUCUUAAUUUCUUAAAAUUCACUUAAACAAAAUCUAAUUCACUACUAACUAACCUCAUAAAUAUUUAAAUAAAAAUAUUUGCGGGUUUAUUUUACGAAAAUAGCAUCUUGGACUUCACUUUUUGAUUUAAAUGGAUAACUAUCAGAUCAAUACUGAUUUAAAUAUAGUAUCCUAACCCGACGUUUUAUACAUGUGAUGUAGAAUUGCUUAGGUGCUUUAGAUGGAACCCACAUUAAGAUUAGGGUUCCAACAGUUGAUAAACCUAGAUAUCGAAUGCGAAAAGGUGACAUAGCACAAAUAUUUUAGGUGUUUGUACACCUGAUAUGCAUUUUGUUUAAGUUCUUCCUGGUUGGGAAGGUUCUGUUGCUGAUGGACAAGUUCUUCAAGAUGCCAUUAAUAGGAGACAUGGACUAAAAGUUCUUCAUGGUAAAGUGCAAAGUUAAAGGAAUUUGAAUUAAUUUUUAAGAUCAUACUUUUUUAGGAAAUUAACCAUGAUAAAUAAAUUUUUUAUAGGUUGUUAUUAUCUAGUUGAUGUUGGAUACACAAAUAUGAGGGAUUUCUUAUGCCUUUUAGAGGACAAAGAUAUCAUUUGACUGAGUGGCGUCAGGGUUACUAGCCAAGUACUCUGGAAGAAUUUUUCAAUAUGAAACAUGCUUUAACGCGCAAUGUUAUUGAAAGAUGCUUUGGGUUAUUAAAACUUAGAUGAGGAAUACUUAAGAGGAGUCCAUCGUUCUAUCCUGUAAGGGUACAUAAUAGAAUCAUUAUUGCAUGUUGUUUGCUCCAUAAUUUUAUUGGAACCUAUAUGAGUUUUGAUCAUAUUAAAGUGGAGUUGGGAGAAGGAUUACCUAGUAAUGUGAUAAAUGACGAUGAACCGAAUAUCGUAAAUAUUCAUCCAUUGGAUGCAUGGGCUACUUGGAGGAUGGAACUAGCCAAUCAAAUGUUUGAUGAAUGGCAAGCAUCUAGAAAUUAGUUAGGUUUAGGGUAAAAAUAGUAAACGUUAAUUUGUUUAUGUUAUUUCAUGUAUCUAGUUUAUGAAACUUUGGUGAUGUUUAAAUUGUUUUUUGUAUUGUACUAGACUAGUUGAAUUAUAAUUUGUUUUCUUUUAAUUAAUCAUGUGUUAUAAUUUUAUAAAGUGUCAACCUUUUAAUUCAUAAUAUUGAACUUAUUUUUAAUUUGUGUUUUUUCUUAAGAUAGUUAUGUUAGGUUUUUCACAAUCAAGUGUUUAUUCGCAAAAUUCUCGAUGAACCAAAAGGAAAUGGGUUCCAAAAGAAGAUGCUAGGUUGGUUGCCUGUAUGGUUGACUUGCACAAUAUUGGAACCUUUAAUGAAAAUAUGGGAUUUAAAGCUAGUUAUUUAAAUGAGUUGGAAAAAAUGUUAGAAAAAGUUUUACCCAUGCGAUGUUAAAGGCUAAACCUAAUCUUGAAUCGAGGAUUAGGACAUUGAAAAGGGAUUAGGCAAUCGUUUAUGACAUGCUUAGUGAAAAAAUAAUAGUGGCUUUGGUUGGAACGAUCAUAGGUAGCUUGUUGUUGCUAAAGAUGUUGUGUGGAACUCAUAUAUAAAUGUAAGAAUUAUUUCGAGUCUUUAUUAUCUUGUUUUGAGUAAACUUAUAUCUAAUAUGGAUUCCUCAUUUUUUAUAGAGUCAUAAAGAAGCCUGUCAAUUAAAACAUCGUAGUUUCCCUUAUUAUGACCAACUUACUACCAUCUAUGCAAAAGAUCGAGCCACUGGGAAAUAUGCUCAAACAACAGCUGAUAUUAUUGAAGAAAUAAAUGUUGAGGAUGUAGAUACUACAAAUACUUAUAAAGAAAGAAAUGAUUGUCAUGGAUGCGAAGUUGAUGUUUCUUUGGAUGACAUGGAUCUUUCAGCUACACAACCGCAACCACCUAGAAACCAAGGUGAUUCCACAUUUUCAAAGAAGAAAAAAAAAGAUUUCUGAUGCAAGUGAUCAUAUUUCUUUUACUUCAUUUACGGAUGCUUCCACUUUAUUGGAGAAAACAUAUGGACCGUUGGCCUUGAAAUCAGUAGGAGUAUUGCCUCCGAAGUGCUAAUUCAACAAAAGUCAGAAAUGACCUUUCAAGAAACUGCUCUAAAAUUAUAUUCAACCUUAUGUGAAGUAAAAGGUUUAACUGAGGAUGAACGCUAUAGCGUAUUGAGCAAAAUUCCAGACCAUCCAACGCAAAUGCUCAUUUUCUUUAGUUUACCUUCUUCUGUGUGGCUGGAAUGGGUUAGAAGAUUUCUUGCUAACCAUUAAAAAUCAUGGUUGUGAUGGUGAUAUUUUGGUAACUUUUUGUGUUUGUAAUAUUUGGAUGGUAUAAUGACAUGAUAGAAUGUGAUUACAAUAUUGUAACUUUUUGAUGUUGUAAAAUUUAACAUAUGGAUUAUGACAUAUAAGCUAAUGAAACCAUGUUACUUUUUGUUAAUAAAUGAAUAUUAUGUUUGAAUGUGAAAUAUAAUCCUCAAGCUAUUUGUUACUUCUAAUAUUUUAUUUUUUAUUAUAGAAUAAUUAAAUUAUUUAUUUCAUUAAUAAUAUUUUAGCACAUUAAAUAUGUAUUGCAGUUUAAAAAUAAUAAAGUAGGUUAUACAUUAUUUUUAUAAUAUUAUAUAUUAUGAUUUUUUAAUUCAUAUAAUAAUAAUUAUAUAUAUUAAGAAUGUUAUUAAAUUAUAUAUUGUUUUAUUAAAUUGUAUUUAAUAAUAAUUAUGUUAAAUUAUGAUUAAAUUAUUUAUUUUUAUUUUUAUUAAAAUAUAUUUAAUGAUAAUUUUAUUAAAAUUUAAUAACAAUAACAAUAAUCAUCUACCUAAAAAACUUAUGUUGAUGGUACUUUGGUCAUUUAAGUCUUUUUCCUUAUACUAUUACAACAUUUAUUUCAUUCAACCAAACAAUGGAAUUACUGAUUACAGCCCUAUUCCAUUACAGUGAACCAAAUGUAUCCUAAAUCUUAAACCCUAAAUCCUUGUCGACUCUCCUUCCGUAAAGAUAUUUUUAGUCAUAUGAUUGUUUCUCAAAUGUUUCAUAUGUUUGAAAAAAUUCAGAUCAAUAAUUACAUUAAUUAGAUAAUCAAGGCUUUAAAGGGUUUUUUUUUAAUAUUGUUUGAAUAAAAAGAAGAGAGAAUGUUUUAUAUUUAGCCCAUAAAAGGCUCUGCGUGUUGACAUGAUGGGAGCUUAGGAUUUAGGAUCCGCGUCUUUUUUAUGCAACGAGAUAUUUUCUUCUUCUUUUUUAUCUUUAGUAGUCCGUAUUUUGUGUGAUUUUAUCCCUAAUUCAAUUUUAAUUUAUUCUAUCUGAUCUUGAUUUACAUUUAAUCGCAUUCAAUUGGAUGUUUUUUUUAUUUUUUUAGGUUUAAAAUUUAAAUUUUUAUUGUAUACAAUUUUAAUUAUUAAUUCCAUUACAUGUAUUUGAUUUGUGGUUUAUUUAAUCUAAUUACAGUUAAUGUGUAUGUAUAUUUGUUUUGUUUACUUGUGAUAAAAUAUAUUUCUAAAUAUGUUGAAGUAUGAUUUUUAAUUUGUUAUUAAAAAACAAUAGAUUUGUAAAAAAAAAAAAUUACAUAUUUAUUUACAGCUGCAUUCAAUUUUUAUUCAUAUUAAGAUACAUUUUUUUAUCAUUAAAAAUAACUAUUUUUUAUAUUUAAAAUUAAAAUUUUAAAUAAAAUAUUGUUCUUUAAUUAGAUUAUUUUAGAAUAUUUUAAAUAAUGCAAUAAUUUUUUAAUGUUAAUAAAAUUUAAACAAUAGUAUAAUAGUUUUUUACAAUAAAUUAUUUAAUAAACUAAUAUAAGAAGUAAUUUAAAACUCUACGUAUAAAAGAGGGAGAUUUCAAGUUCUUCGACCCUUUCCCGUAAGUAGCCAAAAUGUACUGUUAUUUUCUUUCUUUUGGUCUCUUAUUGAACGCUUUUUUACUUCCAUGAAUUUGGUUGCCCCCAGAACAACGAAAAUUUGAUUUGACAAUUGACUAAAGUCUAAACCACGUAAUCUAUGAUGUGUUGUUAAUUUCUCUAUGUUUUGUACUACUAACUUGACUUGUCAAAGCAAAGGCUUGGUCAGCCAAAAAUGUAGAUCUAAACUUCGUUUCCUGGCGUAUGCUUCAUCUUCAAUGAAUUAUUGAUAAGCAUAUUACCAUUUCCUCCCACGUUGCAUCAUGUCUGCAGGCAAAACAACACAUUUUUGGCUAAUAUCAUUCAUUUUUCACUACUCUGAUCUUUUAAACUGUUUAAGGGGCUGCACCACACCAUGGCACUCAACUUUUUUUCCACCUACGAAGAAAUUGUUAAAAGAAUUAUAAUUUUUAGAAACUUUGAGGCAUAUUCUCAAUUGUUAAAGGUGGAAAGUUGAAUCAUAAAAUUAUGAUUUUAUAUUCUAUUCCAUGAGACCUUUACAACUAUAUAUCAUAUGCUCAAAACGGUUGAGUGAUGAAUGAGAAAUUGAUGCUCAAAGUAAGCUACUUGAACAUAUUUGUUGAGGAAAAGAAAAGCUUAGAUUUCACAUUGGUUAAAUACCAAGUGUGAGAUGUGUAUAUAUUUGAGAACCCACUUGAAAAGUAAUUGAAUGACUAAGUUUAAAAUUUUACCUCACGCACAGGGUGCAAAUCCAAACCCAUCGGGGUUAGGGCGCACCAGCACGAUGUGGGUAACGUGAAAUGUUCGGACCGGUCGGGCUCAGAGGCUGCAGAUAUUUUAGCCCAACAUCAGAUUUAUUUUUCUCAGCAAAUAUAUACAAAAUCUAAUUUAAAAGGAUAUAUAUCCUAAUUUAUUUGAUUCAAAUUGAUUUAACUGCUCAUUUAAUGCAUAUUUUGUAUCUUUAUUUAUGAAUAUUUUCAAAAUUCCUCCAUAUUGAAUGCCUAUAAAAGCCUAAGAAUUCUUUAAAAUUUUUACACUUAUAGACUCUCUAAAACCGAGUUUAUUUUGCUCUUGAAAAUUCCUCUUUUCCUCUCAAUAUUUUGUUCUCUACUGCUUCGAUCAUCGUGUUGUUGUAUCCUGAGAGAUAGUCGACCAAUGUUUCUCCAAGUACCGUAGGAGCGGCCGAAUUUAUCUUAAAGAAACUAUGUAAAACAAGUCUCAAUAUCUAGUAAAAUUUGAUUUCUAGUUUUUUCAUAAUCUUAUUUAUUUAAUUGAUUUCUUAAAUAUAAAUAAUUAUUUAUUUUAUAUAAAUAUUUGUUUAUUUAUAUAUAUAUAUAUAUUUGCUAACGUGUUUUGUCCAACAGAAACAACAAAAUCUAUUGAAUGUGACAUAAUUAAGGGAAAUGCAGAGAGUUUUAAGCCAAAUCAUUGUUGAAAAAUACGAACUUUAACGAUUCUGAAAUAACUCGUGACCAAUUCACUCAAUUCACUAAACCUUAUCUUUUGAUUUUGUUACACAUACUUGACCGGCAUAAAAAAAUAUGAUCAAUUUGUAAAAAAUUGUAGGUUAAAAUAAACUUUUUUUUUAAAAUCUUAUUAGUAGAGAAGAGAUCAGAUUAUUGAUUUUCAGUUCAUUCAAUUUGGUCGAAUAAAUUAUUAAAAAUUAAAAAUUACAAAAAAAAAUAUUAAAAAUAGAGAAAACUAUUCUAAUUGGUUUAAUUUAUCCGUACUAAUUCAUAAAUUAAUCAGUUCAACCCUCUUAUUAAACUAGAAUUCUAGAUAAUCCCUCUAUGAUGAAUUGAUUUGAUCCUAUUCUAAAAAUAAUAUUAAGAAUUUUCGUAGGAUUGAAAGAAAACAUUGAAGGAAAGAAUUGGAAAGAUAAGAAAAUGUUUUUUUCCUAGUGUCUAGUUGGAAAGUUAGAAUGAUGAAAAAGAAAAAGAAAAGCUCAGUUUAGUUUUCGAAAAUAUCUUUAUUUAAAAAAAUAUUUUUUAUUUAUUAUUUUUUAAAAUAUAGUAAAAAAUAAAAUAUGUUUUCAAACAUAUUUGAUACAUGAGAAAUUUAAUUAAAAUUGUUUAUAUUUAUAUGGACUCAAAUUUUAAAAAUUAUUGAAAAAAUAUUUUUUUUUACCUUUUUUGAAUUGGGUGAAUUUAUUAAUUAAAUUUAAAGUUUAUAUUUCAAUUUUUCCAAUGCUAUGAAUAGUAUUUUUAGUGAAAAUAAGAGAAACAAGAUUUCAUAUUUUUAAAAAUUUUCACAUAUUUUCAUUUUCAAAAAAUAUUACAAUCAAAUUUGUUUUCUUUAGAGUUAGCAAAUUAGAAAUUUUGAAAUUAAAUAACAUGAAGAUUUGGCACUUUUACGCAGUAUUAGGGUAGCAGACAAUGGGUCUGUAUAUCCCUUGUGUACCCUGAAGCAAACGUUGUAGCUGAUUUUUUGGCAAAGUUAUCAUCGCUCUUGGAUGUUGGGCUGAUGGAGGUUGCCAUACCCUCAACUGGAACGUGGAACAAGCUACUGGAUGACAUUUUGUGCGUUUCUCGUAUGCAAAAUGGUGUCCUGUAAUUUGGUUUUAUUUUAGCUAGUAGUAGCCCUUUUGGUAAAGAAAAAAACAUAAACUAUACUAAUAGUCCCUAAACUUUAUUUAGACUUAUAUUUUAGUUACCCGAUUUUCAAGUAUAAAUAAAUUAAAUUUUUAACAAAAAUAACUAAUUUACUAUUUCAUUUAAUGUACAAUGAUUAAUUUACCUUUAAUUGAAUAGAUGAAGAAAAAUGCAAUUCAAUUUUUAAUACAUGAACCUCUAUAAUAUUUUUACCAUCAUAUUUAUGAUUGACUAUGAAGCAAAGACCAAUGCUACAAUUAUUCCUAACGUCCAUGAGGGGAUUCAUCGUGGGAGGGUGAUCGACAUCACUUACCAACUUACAGUCGAGCGAUGGCUUGUUGUUAACUUAUUUUCAAUUGUUAGCAAAUUGAUAUGCCAUAGUUACGGACAACCAAUACUAGCUCAAACAUUUUAAGACUUUAGUAGGAUUUGUUUUGGUACCUGAAAAACAUGCUUGAUUUCUGUGUUUUCAUAUUUGCCAUGCUGUAACCAUAUUUUUGUUCACGGAAUCCACCAAUUCAUUAUGUUGGCAACUAAGAUCAUUCACCCACUGUAUCACCCAUUCCCUUACAAAUUUUUUUUUAUCAACUCUCAUGUUAUUUGGUGUUCUCUCAUAAUUUUUUUAUACAUUUUCAUCUUUUUGUACUUUCACAUAUUUUUUCAGUAUUUCCUUAUAGUUUUUUUUUGUACUUUUUUUAUUUUCCGUAAUUUGAUACGUCAAAUUAGAUUUCCCGUUAUACUUAAUAAAGCUUGUUCUCGAGUAAUUUGAAUGUCUUUUCAGUAGUUUUUACUUAGUUUUAGUUUCGUGUUUUAGUAAGUGUUUAACGUGCUUUAAUCCCAUUUUUUAGACCCAAUUUGACCAAUUGCGUCAUAAGGACUUUAGCGGUUGGUUGAGUGUUGUAGAGAGUCAAAAGUGGUCCGAACGUGGACAAGAACAUCACUGAUAAGGGGUAUUGCGAUAUCAAUGCAGGGAAGUUGUGAUAUCCCUGAAUGUGCUGAAAUGAAAAGAAUAGAGACCACCUAUAAUGGUGUCACGAUACCCAACAUCCAAAGGAACUCCCCAUUUUGAGACUGCCAUGGAUAUCGCGAUACCGACCCAACCUAGAAUUUUUGGCUAAAUCGAAGACGUUAUAUUGAUUACCGAAGUGAUACUGAAAAACCAUUCUUUUUACUUUAGUUGAUUGGUAUAAAAAUCACUUUUUUUUUAAGAAAAACAUUCAUUAAUUAAAUCGAUUUUAUUUAGCAAUCUAAUUACAAUAUUAUUAUUAUUGUGAAGAUUUGAAAAAUGAUUUAAGGUUUAUCAUGGUUUUAAUGAUCAUAUACAAUUCAACAUUAAUUUAAUACACGUAACCCUUAACUUUUAUAUCCUACAUAAUUUAAUCCUUAAAUUCAAAAUCUCCAAGUCAGUAAAAUUUGCUAAAUACUCAAACAGGCCGAAUAUCUAUCUAUAUCAAUACCGUCCAUAAUAACUCAAUAUUCACAAGAGUAGCAUGUUACUUUUAACAUUUUAACAAAUUAGCUUUAGCUCAAAAACCAUAAAAAAUUAUUUAACAAUUUCCUCAUGAACAACCACCAUUACUUUAAAUUAAAGCUUUAACAUCAUAAACAACAAGGGUUCAUCAAUGGUCACAUUCAAAAACUUUGACAGUUUCAAAAAUAAAAGUACGGGUUAACUGGACCUAAUUGUAACGAUUUUAAAAAUAUAAAAUUUAUAAGAAACUACUUUAAAACAAACUUACAUGCAAGGGAUUUAUAAAGGCCGGAUUUAGAACUCCCAACAAUGGAGAUUUUCCUCUUAGUUUCGGUGGUGAACCCUUUUAGAAGAUGAUGGAAAUUUUGUUUUUAUUAUUCCUUAGUUUAAUUAUUCUAAUUACAAUUUUUACCCUUGUAAAUAAACAUACCAUUUAACAUCUUAAAAGUCCUUAAUCGUCCAUCAGUAUCCACUAUGGUCUAAUUCCUUCAUAGACCCAACUCGUUUGACAUAUAAUCCAUCAAAUCCCUUUAAUUAAUUAAACAUCAAAUUUUGCAUCCAUCACAAUUUAAUCCUUUUUACCCAACUAAUCAACUAAACAUUAAAUUUUCUUCAUCAGAAUUUAAUACAACCUUGAUGACUUCGUAAAUAUUAAUUAUUUAAUAUUUACAGACUGACACAUCGAAAUUGUAGUCCCAAAAUCAUUGUUUCCAAUAUCACUAAAAAACGGGAUAUUACAUGUCACCUUUGUGAAAUUACGGAGGUUCUUUUGUGAGCUUCUUAGCUACCUAUUGAACAAGCUACAAGUCCAUAAAUGGUAUAUCAUAAUUUUUGGUAUUUUCUCAUAAUAAUUGAUAUAUAUUUGUAAUUAUUGCUAUUCCCUUCGAUUUUUUGGUAAUUUCUCAUAAUUUUUGGUAUUGUUUUGAAAAGAAAGUUUGAUAUGAGAUAUAAUUUUGGAGUAAAUAAAAAUUUAUUUUUAAAUUGUAACACCUCCUAACCCUUAUCUAUCCCCGGAUUAGGAUUACGGUGCACUACCAGUCAGUACAGUUCAUUUACGAUUAUUAAUUAAAAUAAUUAUUUACACUUAUCACAAAUUUAACAAAUUAUCAAAUAAUUCAAAUUUAUACCUAUUAAGCCAAAUCCUAUUUUAUACCAUUACCAAACCUAAUUCUAAAUAUUUCAUCAAUACAUUGACAAUUCAAAAUACACACACAUAAAAUAUCCUAGGUACAUGUCAUUACCAACUAUUAACACGCUUUACCUCAUUGAAUUCGGGAUCGGCCUGGGAUGCUGAUUCCACGUUCUAGCUUUAACUUAACUUGCGCACGGAAACAAACCGUAUGCUGAGUAUGAACUCAAUGGUAUUUCUAUAAUCCGAACACUUAAUGAAAUGAAAAUAUAUAACAAACACUUAAAAUCAUAUACAAUUACAAUUAUUCAAUUAUUUAAUUCAUAGAUAAAUUCUUUAUAACUUAUCCCAUUCUUUUCACUUACUAACCUGUAUAGCUUUCCAUGAUUUAUUCACAAGUCAUUUAAACAAUAAUAUUAUUCACUUUUAUUCAAUUCAGAGGUAUAUAAUUCAUUUGUCUCAGUCAUACUUUAGUUCCCUAUUUAAUAUCAAUAAACUAUAUUCAACUAUUCACUUCUCAAUCAGUGUUCUGUACUUAUCCAUUUCAAUAACAGUCAGUAUUUUUCGGUAACAGUCAAUUGAUCUUUAUUAUUCAGUAACAAUCAAUCAUUAAAGAAAUCAGUCAUUCAGUAUUUUUAUUUACCCCUAUUAACAUGACUCGGACAUUGACGGAUACACGGAUCCAACCAGCACACCAGUACGGCACUCAGUGCCUCAUCAGCUUUGCCGAAGUAAACAGUAACAGUACGGUAAUUAGUACCUCAUCGGAUUAAACCAAUGUAACAGUAGCAGUAUGACACACAUGGUGCCUUAUCGACUCGAAGUCGAAGUAAUAGUACGACACUUAUAGUGCCUCAUCGACUCAAUGUCGAAGUAUCCCUGAACACUUCCAAUCCUAUGGCAUGCCAACUAUAUCCGAUUAGCCCGAUACAGUUAAUAGGAUAUUCAAUUUACUUUCCAGUUUCCAAUCAUUAUAUAUUUCAAAAAUCACAUUUAUUCUCAAUUCAAUAUAAUUCAAUUCACUUUUCAAUAACAAAUAUUCGAUUUCACAAUAGUCACUUAUUCAUACUAAUUUCAUCACAUUUCUAACCAAUAUAUUUUCUAAUAUAACGUACAUUCAAUAUUCAAUUUCCACAUCAAUCACAUAUAUUCAUAUAAAUUCGAUAAAUUUAUCACAUACUAAAUCAAUUCAUUUCAAUUAUAAAGACACAAUACAAAUAAUUCACAUCUUAAUUAUUUAUCAUAACAUUUACCCAAAAUUCAAUUAUCAUAAUUGCACACACACACACACAUAUAUAUAUCUAAUAUAAUUCAAUUUAAUUCAAUCAAUAUAAAUUCAUCACAUACCAAAUUAAUCCAUUUCCAUUAUAAACACAAUAAUUCUCACUUCAACAUUUACUAAAUGCAUUGAAUAAAAAAUAUAACAAUUAAUAACUAGGUUCGGAUUAUAGAAAUACAAACCGUAAUUUCCGAGCUAACCCUCGUCGACUUUUCUUUUUUCUUGCUUAGCAGAGAUUUCCGGCACAAUGUUAGCUAAGGAAAUUAAAACAAUUAAAAAUUCAUCAAUAUACAAUUUUAUUUUAUUUAUUCCAAUUUCAACUCAAUAUUUACAUAACUUCUAAUUUAAUCCCAAUUCAAACUAACUUGUUUUCUUUUCAAUUUAUUCUCUAUUUUUCACUCAACUAUCACUUAAAACCAAAUUUCAACUCUCUAAUUUCUCCAUAAAUCCAUAAUUUUGAAUUUCUUUUAAUUUAGUCCCUAAAGCAUAAAACUUAUAAAUUACUUUACAAUUCAAUCUUUAUUUCACUUCUAACUUGAAUUUCUAUCAAUUUAAUCCCCAAUUCAUCAUUUUAUUCAACAUGAACCAUAUUUAGAAAUCUAAUAUCUUCCAAAAUAUCAACUUAAUUCCAUCAAAACCUUAUUCCAAGGCUUUUAAAACAUCAAAAAUAAGUAAAAAGGGCUAAAUUGACUUACCUAUUUAAACUUCAAGCUUCAAACCCUAAUUUUCCCUUUUCUUCUUUCCUUCCUUUCUUUUUUUCCUUCCUUCUCUGUUUCAUUUCUUCUAUUCUGUUUCUCUCCUUCUUUUUCUUUCUUUUAUUUUCAUUAAACUAUUAUAUUUAUAUUAUUUAUACUUAAAUUAGUAAUACUUAUUUAUUAUUUAUAUAUAUAUAUAUGUAUAUUAUUAGUACAUAUGUAUCCAUUUAUAACCAUACAUUUGUUAUAAUUUAAUUUAUUUAUUACAUAAAAAUUUUAUAAUAUAAUUAUUUAACUAAUAAAUAUCUUUUACUUAAUAAUUAUCUAUUUAAUAACUAAAUACAAGUAUUACAAAUGUUUGUAUUUUUAUUAACAUUUUUGUAUCAAAUCUUCAUCACGCAUUUGUCUUUCUUUAAUUCAUUUAUUUAUUUACUUUAUUUAAUAAGUAAAUACAUACAUGUAUUACAAAUGUAUAUAUAAUAUUUAUUACACAUGUAUAUUUUUAUUACUACACAUUUGUCACUAUUUUAAUUUAUUUAAUAAUAAUAUCAAUUAAAUAAUAAUAACCAUAAUAAUAAAUUAAUUAUUCUAAGAAAAAUCUUAGAUUUUUCCAUCUUUUGCCGCCUAAAUUAGGACAAAUGGCAUAAUUUCCAUUUUGGUCCUUUAUAUUUUCUUUUAAUCUAUAAUUCAACUUUCACACUUUAUUCAAUUUAAUCCUUAUACCUAUUUAGCCUCAAUUUAAGCUAAUUCACCUUAUUAAACUCUAAUUAAUCACUCAAUUAACUUCGAAAAUAUUUUUAAUAAUAUUUACAAAUCUAUUUUUCAGAAACGGAGACCCGAAAAUAAAAUUUUUCGAUAACCGUAAAAUUUGGGUCGUUGCAUAAACAUUAAGAAAUUUCAUUGAGAUUUUGUAGCGAAAAAAAUGUAAUUGUUAAAUUAUAAUUUUUAAUACUAAAAAUUGGUACGGAAAAAAAUUAUAUUUUAUGAUAAUUUAAAAAAAACUAAAAAUUAAAUAAAUGAAAAAAAAUUAUUGAGACAAACCAAAAAUUGGCAUCCCUCACAAUUUUUGGUAUCUUCUUAUGUUAUUUGGUAUUCUCUCAUAAUUUUUUUAUACUUCCUCAUAAUUUUUUAUACAUUUUCAUAUUUUUUUAAUAUUCUCUCAUAAUUUUUUGUACUUUCUCAUUUUUUGGUACUUCAUCAGGUUUUAUGAUAUUCUCUCAUAAUAUUUAGUACUUCUUAAUAUUUUUAGUAUUCCUUCAUUAUUUUUUUUUUGUAUUCUCUCAUAUUUUUGGUACAUCAUCAUAUUUUUACAUCAUCAUUUUUUUUUUACUUUCUCAAAUUUAUUGGUACAUCCUCAUUUUUUAAUACUUCCUCAUGUUUUAUGGAAUUCUCUCAUAAGUUUUGGUAUUUUUUAAUUUUUUUUAGUUUUCCCUCAUAAUUUUAUUAUGCAUCCUCAUAUUUUUUUGGUAUCCCUCAUAACUUUUGGUAUCCGAUCAUAAUUUUUGGUAUUUCCUCAUAUUUUUUGGUAUUCUCUCAUAAUCUUUUAUACAUCUAAGUUUUUGUACUUUCUCAUAUUUAUUUAUAUUCUACAUAAUUUUUUGUAUUAUUUUGAAAGAAAGGUUUGGUAUGAUAUAUAAUUUAGGAGUAAAUAAUAAAUAUUAUUUCAAAUAUUAAGAAAUUUCAAUGAGAUGUUGUAACGGAAAAAAAUUGUAACUGUGAAAUUAUAAUUUUUAAUACUAAAAAUUGGUACUGAAAAAUUCAUACUUCAUGAUAAUUUUUAAAAAAUAUGAAAAAUUAAAUAAAUGAAAAACAUUCUAAGACAAACAAAAAACACCUCAAACUUGAUCGGGACGGUCCAACCCGAACUUCGAAUGUCACAUUAGCCAUCAAGGUAACUCUCUAUUUAAAACUUUACAAACCACACCAACCAACUAUACACACCACACAUUUGUAGAAUAUAUCAUAUAGGAAUUAGUCCUAAGUGCAUGUUUUUCUAAAUUAAUUAUUUCAUUCACACAAUUAGAAAGUAUAGGGCGUACCUUAAUACUCGGCGGUCUCCCUUAGCUGCGAAAAAAUUGUUAGCUCAAAUGAUUAUCAUCACAUUAAAUUAGUAAUAAAACCAUCCAGACAGGCAAUCAAACAAACAAUUAAAACAUUCAAAAUCCCCAAAAAUAAAAAUUAAACAGUUCGAAAUGUCCGUUUACAAAAUGUUGAAUUUUUUAUUUAAAAAGUCUAAGUCUAAGUCUAAUUCCAGUACUAAACCCUUGGAACGACCCACAUUGCCUUCACUUUAGAGUUUAAAAGCUCAACCCACAUACUCUAAAAAAAUGCCUUGCAAUGAUGGAUCACCAAUUUGCCACCCUCCUCGCUAACCCAUGAACUAUUUAUUUCUAAGGUAAAGUAUGGAGUGUGAGCUUGGUAAAGCCUAGUGAGUGUACAAAGAAUUGCCACAAUUAGACAUAAAAUCCGUAGUUGAAAGAAAACAUGCUAAAUCAUGCAACCAUAGCAUAGAAUCAAACAUAUCACAAAGCAAACACAAUGAUAUAUUGGCAUAAUGUGACGUGGAACAUAUAUAUAAUCAGUAAUGCAUUAGAUAAGCAGAUCUCCAAACACUCCUCAUGACUCAUAAAGUUGAAUGUUAUCUCCAUGUAAGUAUAGCAUGAAUGCUCAUACUCUCUAAACAUAUCACGCUAUCUACGAUGAUGGAGCUACGCUCGACAUUUCCUUAUCUCUCCAAUGCUCUCUCCGGGCCAUAAUGCCUUAACACAUAAUAAAAAUGGUUAUUACUCACAAUCUUAUGAUAUGUCAAUGAUAACCAAUGGUUCCAAAUAAUCACAAUGCCAAAAUAUCCACUUACACACAUAUUCACUCAUCAUUUUAUACAAACUUUCACCUGUUAACAACAUUUUCUCAAUCAAUUUCUCAACACUUUUAAUGCACUCUCAAAUGCUAUCAAAAUUGCUCAAAAGAGCCAUAAUCAUAUUAAAUUAUUCAAGUGCACAUAAAACCAACAAGCACUUAUCAAUGAUUGUCAUUUACACAUAACACAUGCUUAAUAUUUCACAUGAUUCACAUAUCACAAUAAGCAAACAUCGAAUUUAAUAGUACAUAGGUCAAGUAGAAAUACUUACUCUCGAAGCUUAGAUUAGGUUAUUAGACCAACCUAAGCUCCUAUUCAACCUUAGGAAUCGUGCCUAAGAGCCACAGUAUCAAUCACUCACCUAGUCAAUGCCUUGCACACAACAAUCUCAAACGAGCUUUUCUUUCCUUUUUGCCUUGCUUGUAGAAGCUCCCGACGAGUCUGACGCUUUGCAUUCACAUUAAAUACAUUAUAGACACAUUAUUAACAACCUUAAAAAAUAUAGUAGCAAAAUCACUACUCUAAGGUCACUUUUCUCAUACCCAAAAUCAACUCAUUUUGUCGAAAUUUGAGGUUUCCUCACUCAAUUUAUGUUCCUAAACCUUAAUUAAGUUUCUAAACAUCUUAUUUAACCUAUUAUUGCAAAUAUAAACCUUUAAUUUUACCUAAUCUUACAAAUUUAAAAUUUUCGAAAAAUCAAGUUUUUAUGAACAUAUAAAGGGGGGGAAUUGAAUUCUGGAAAAUUCAUUACGGAUCCAUUAAAUUGAAUUCAAAUAUCUAAUAUUUAGUUAAAAACAUAUUAGAAAUCAAUAAAAAACUGUAGGUUUACUUAUUAUUUCGGAUUUCACCAUUGUUGAAUUAAGAUUUGAUUAAAAAGCUUUAAAUCUUAAAAACUAUCAACACACUCAAUUAAAUUCCGAAAUAGAAAAACAAAAACAUUAAUCUAAUCAUAAUAAGUCAAGACAUUACCUCAAUUUGAAGAAAACAACAUGUUUUGGAGCUAAUUCGAAGUUGGACAUGAGAAGGAUAAUAACGAAUUUGAUAAAGAUUUAAUGAUUUUUCUUUAAAAUUGGAUGGUGUUGAGGUGUUUGGAUAGUUAGAAAAUUACUUGAAGAAGGAAACAUUGCCUUUUAAAAACAUCCAAUUUUCCCUUAUUUUUCAAAUCAAUCCUUAGUUUAAUUAAAACACAUUUUUCCUCAAUUAUUUUCAAACCCAAUUUUAUUUUUAAAAUUUGUUUUAACUAAAUUAAUUUUUAAAUACUUAAUUUUAAUUUCUUAACCUAAAAUUAUUAAUUAUAUUUAUUUUAAUAUUUUAUUUAAUUAAUAUUUAAUUAUUAAUAAUCUGACUUAAUUACGAUUUCUAAUUCACUAAUCCUUGAUUUGCUAUACCGAUUCUACUAGCCCAGCUUUCAGGAUGUGAUAGUAUUUCUCAUAUUUUUUGAUAUCCCCCCUGUUAUUUGGUAUUCUCUCAUAAUGGUACUUUGUCAAAGUUUUUUUUUUUUUUUUUGUACUUCUUCAUCAUUUUUUGCAGUUCCUGCUGCCUCAUGUUUUUUGGUGUUCCCACGUAACUUUUUAUAAUUAGAUUUUUUGGUGCUUCCUUAUAUUUCUUUUGUAAUUCCUCAUGUUUUUUUUGUAUUCAUUCAUAAAUUUUGGUACUACUUCCGUCAUGUUUUUUUUUUUUUUUUUUUGUGAUUGUUGAGGGCUUUUUGCUACUUUCUCAGAUUUUUUGGUGUUACCUGAUAAUUUUUUUGUGGCUCCUCAUGUUAUUUUGUACUUUCUUUUAUUUUUUGCUAUUCCCUCAAAAUUUUUUAUAUUUCCUCGUAUUUUUUUAGUAUACCCUCAAUUUUUUUUAUGUGGUUUGGAAAUGAUGAUUUGGGAUGAGAUAUAACUUUGGAGUAAAAAAUAUUAAAUUUAAAUAUUAAGAAAUUUUAAUAGGAUGAUGUAAAGAAAAAUUUUGGUAACUUUUAAAUUAUUAUUUUUCAUACUAAAUUUUGUAGGGGAAAAAUAUAUUUCAUGAUAAUUUUUUUAAAAAAGUAAAAAUUAAAUAAAUGAAACAAAUUUAGUAAGACGAAUCAAAUUUGGUAUCCUCUAAUAUUCUCUCGUAUUUUUGGUACUUCUUAAUGUUUUUUUUUUUGUAAGUCUUUUAUUUUUUUGAGUUUUCCCUCAUAAUUUUUAGAGUACUAAAAACCACGAGGGAAUAACACAAAAUAUGAUGUGAGUACCAAAAAAUAUGAUGAAGUACCAAAAAUUAUAAGAGACUACCAAAUAUUGAUUCUUCUUAUAAAAUUUACUUUAUUUUUUAAAAUUUUUUAUUUUAUAGUAUAUAUAAAACAAAUUUUAUUAUUAUUGAAAAAUAUUUCUUUUAUAUCAAAAAUUGAUUUUUCAAGUCAACAUUUUAUUUUGAAAGCAUACUAAAAAUUCUAAUGGCAUGCCUUACGAGAAAAUACUAAAAUUAUGGGAAAAUAUUAAAAAUUAUGAGGAAUUAUUAAUAAUUAUUAAAAAAUUAUGUUAGAAUUUAUGAAUAAAUAACAAAAAUAUGAGAGAAUAUAAAAAAUGAUGGAAUUUGUUUUUCAUAUUUUUUAAGGUAAUUCAUUUACAAUUACAAGAGAACUUACAAAAAGCUGUAAUGAGUUAUUUGUAUAAUUUUUUCAAGAGCCCCUUCGGAUGGAUAGUAUAUUUUUCUACAAUUAAUAUAAAAAUAACGAUAACAAUAAAAUUAGAUACUAUAAUAAUAUUGCAUACCUAAAAAAAAACUAAAAAUAAAAACCCAUAUAAAGCAGCCCCAGAUCUAAUUACUAAAUGCGUGUUGAAAUUUUACUUUAACUAAACCAAUUAUUAACUUAGAAAUAUUAUCUAUCUAUCAAGUAAAAGAAAAUUGUUUGUCGAUUUUAUUACAUUGCUAUAUUAUUUAUAUUUAAUUUAAGUAUAUUAAUAAAAAAAGCACGCAUAGCAGGGCAAAUGUAUAAAAAAACACAUAAAUUUCCCUUUAUUUUAUUCUAUAGCAGGUCUCUUAAAAUGGAACCCUACAGUAAAUUUAUUCUGGGAAAACCAAAAGCUACUCAACAGCAUCAGUAGCCUUCAAUCCCCUAAUUGUUCAUAUUAUACUGCUAGAAAAACAGCUGAAAAUAUCGCUAAAACUCUAACAAGACAGACUGGGUCCAGGAUCAACCCCCAAUUGUUUACAAUAAUCGGUGUAAAACCGAAUUCGACGCUGAACUUUGUCUUGUGCAGCUGGAACACCACAUUCAAGCCUGCCAUUGAUGGCUUUGAUGGUUGCUCCGAACCCUUGGCCGAUGAAGGGGCGGACAGCGGCCAUCCAGUACCAUAAUGAACCCUUAAAUGAGACAACAGGAUCAUUGGCCACCAUUUCAGGAUUUUUCAAUAAGUCCAGCUUCAAAGCAUUCCCUGCGUUCCCGUAGUUAGUAUUCCCUGUAAGCUGAAGCGGUCCUCGACCGUGGUAGGACUUCCCUGGUGCACAUGGGAACUUUGGAUUGGCUUCACAGUAGCUAUUACUUUUAUCCUGCUCUUCUGUAUAGCAAAAGACUGCAAAUAUAGGAAUAUAUACAAAGACAUCAGAUUUAGGACUAUAUAAUGAGCUUCGAAUCCGUGGUUUAGUUCAAAGGAAAAAGAGCUUUACAUUCAGUCUCAUGGGUAGCAUGGGCGAAGAAUGCAGCAAUCUCACGCUUGGAUUCAACAUCAGAACCCAAUUUUCCGAAAUCGGGAAAGGAAUCAAGUGCAGUCAGGAAAGCUUGUCGUGUAUAGAAUUUCUUGCCUGCACAAUCCGCACGAGCUUGGUUGAUUAUCCCGUUGAAGAACUGAGGUGAAACAAUGGAGGCAACUGAAGCACCAGUGGGAGACUUGGAGAAACAAGGGCCUUCUUUGCAACCAGUGCCACAGUAAUCGUUACCCUGACCGCAAUAACCAUGUUGACUGCAACACAAGUUUGGCGCACAGCCACAGUUUUGAGCCAACACGGUUUGGGUUAUAGCUGAAGCAACUACUAGUCCUACGAGAACAGAUGUUAGUAGCUUUUUUC